AGACAUCCAGGAUCAAAUGGCAGAUAGUUUAGAUCUGAAAUUUGUCAAGGAGAGUAAAGGAGGGAGAGCAAAUGAACUAUGGCAGAGACUGCAGGGAAAGAAGAUGCUUAUAGUCCUGGAUGAUGUUUGGAAAGAUAUUGACUUCCAAGAGAUAGGGAUCCCAUUUGGUGAUGAUAACAGGGGUUGUAAAAUUCUUCUAACAACACGUAAUCAAGAACUAUGUUCUUAUUUGCCGUGCCAGCAAAAAGUAUUGUUAAGUCCCUUAACUGAAAUUGAAGCUUGGGCUUUAUUCAAAAGCAACGCAGGUUUAAGUGAUGAGGACUCUGACUUGAACAGAGUGGCAAAGGAGGUUGCGAGAAAAUGCCAAGGAUUGCCUUUAGCUCUUGCGGCAGUAGGAAGGGCUCUAAAAGGUAAAUCUAAAAAUGAGUGGAAAUUAGCAUCUAAAAACCUCAAAAAAUCUCAAUCUCGGCACAUGGAAAACGUUGAUGACCGAAGUAAUCCAUAUGCAUGUCUUAAGUUGAGCUACGAUUAUUUGAAGUCCAAGGAAACCAAGUUAUGUUUCUUGCUAUGCUGUUUAUUUCCAGAAGAUUACAGCAUUCCAAUUGAGGACUUGACGAGAUACGCAGUUGGCUAUGGGUUACAUAAAGAUGCGGAGUCCAUUGAAGAUGCAAGGAACAAGUUUAUGCGGAGAUGAAAACCCUCAAAGAUAGGUGUAUGCUGUUGGGCACUGAAAGUGAAGAAAAUGUGAAAAUGCAUGACUUGUUUCGUGAAGUUGCUAUUGACAUAGCAACUAAAGAAUAUGGAUUCAUGGUAAGUGCUGGCAAUGGGUGGAAGAGUGUAAAUAAUAGUGUUACAACAAUUUCGUUAAUGGGCAAUGAACUAGCAGAACUUCCUGAAGGAUUGGUGUGUCCACAGCUCAAAGUUCUUUUAUUAGAACUGGAUCGUGGUUUGAAUGUUCCAGAGAGGUUUUUUGAAGGGAUGAAAGCAAUAGAAGUUUUGUCUCUAGAGGGAGGGUGUUUGUCAUUGCAAUCACUUCAAUUCUCAACGAACCUUCAAUCGUUGCUGUUGAGAAGGUGUGAGUGCAAGGACCUCAUUUGGUUGAGAAAGCUGCAAAGACUUGAGAUUCUUGGUUUCAUGUGGUGCUCCUCCGUUGAAGAAUUACCUGAUGCAAUUGGGGAGCUCAAGGAGUUAAGGUUGUUGGAUUUGACAGAUUGUUACCAUCUAAGAAGGAUUCCUGUGAAUUUGAUUGCAAGGUUGAAGAAGUUAGAAGAGCUGUUGAUCGGGGAUGAGAGCUUCAAGGGAUGGGAUGUUGUUGGAUGUGACAGCACAGAAGGAAUGAAUGCAAGCCUAACAGAACUACGUUCGCUGUCUCAUUUAGCUGUAUUAUCAUUGAAGAUACCGAAGGUUGAAUGCAUUCCCAGAGAUUUUGUUUUUCCCAGCUUGCUCAAAUAUCAUAUAGUGUUAGGGGAUGGGUAUUCAGAAAUAGAAUACCCAACCUCGACAAGAUUAUAUUUGGUUGAUAUCAGCGCCGCAUCCUUAAAUGCAAAGACAUUUGAGCAAUUGUUUCCUACCGUGUUUCCUAUCAGCUUGCUCAAAUAUCAUAUAGUGUCUCUAAUUGAUUUUAGAAACAUUGAGGGUUUAGAAAAUAUAGUAUUGUCCUCUGAUCAGAUGACCACCCAUGGCCAUGGGUCGCAAAAGGACUUCUUUCAAAGAUUAGAACAUGUACACGUGUAUGUAUGUAGGGAUAUUCGCACUCUGUUUCCAGCAAAAUGGCGGCAAGCUUUGAAAAAUCUAAGGAGCGUGGAAAUUAAUAGCUGCUAUUCAUUGGAAGAAGUAUUUGAAUUGGAUGAGGAGAAAGAGCUGCUGUCAUCUUUAACAAUGUUACGGUUGUCAUCUUUACCUGAGCUCAUAUGUAUAUGGAAGGGGCCCACCAGACAUGUCAGCCUCCACAGUCUUACUCAUCUGGAGUUGUCAUAUCUUGACAAAUUGACAUUUAUCUUCACACCGUCCCUCGCUCAAAGUCUUAUUCAUCUGGAAACACUUGAGAUAUUCGAUUGCUGUGGAUUGAAGCGUCUUAUCAGAGAGAAGGAUGACGAAGGGGAAAUAAUUCCAGAGUCUCUUGGCUUCCCCAAAUUAAAAACUCUCUCUAUAAUGUUCUGUCAUGAACUUGAAUAUGUCUUCCCUGUCUCCGUGUCUCGAAGUCUUCAGAACCUGGAAGAGAUGAAGAUUUUUAAAGCUGACAAUUUAAAGCGAGUAUUUUACAGUGGAGAAGGAGAUGACAUCAUCAUCAUCGACUUCCCUCAGCUAAGAAAAUUGUCUCUUUCAAAGUGCAGCUUUUUUGGUCCAAAGGAUUUUGCUGCCCAAUUGCCUUCUUUGCAAGAAUUAACCAUUGAUGGCCACGAAGAAGGGGGUAAUUUGUUGGCACAGCUUCGAGUACGUCCUUUAUAUUUCUCCAUUUUUUUUUCUUUUCUAAUUUAAAUCGUCAACUUCAAUACAUUGUGAUAAUUUGUUCUAUCUUUUAAAACAAUAGAGUCAAAAAGUAAAAAUUGAAACUUUCUUUUUAAAUACAAUAUUUUCUCAUUCAAAGAACUUCAAAAGCACCAAAUUUGUAUUGAAUUCAAAAAACAUAUAUUUUUAAAUAUUUUUUCAUUUUUUUUUACAAUUUGUUUUCACUUUUUUUAUGAAAAUAAUAAUUUAAAUGAUCAACAAUCAAGCAUUUUUAUUAAAACAUUUUACUAAUAUGUAAAAUUCAAAUUAUUUCCUUUUAUAUUUUUAUUUUUGGAAAAUGUUAUAAUUUUUUUUUAUUAUAAAUCGAAUAUAAAAUAUUAAUUUUUUUGAGUUAAAGUAUAAUUUUUCAUGAUUUCUUUUAAUUUAACUAAUAUAAAAUAAUAGUUUGUAUUCAGAUUAUCAUAAAUAUAAAAAAAUAUGAUUUUAUAUUCCCAUGACCCAUUGCCUUGUCUAUCUAUAUCUUCUUGUUGAUAAGUAUUUCGGCAUUGGGGAUUACUGGUUCAUCUAUUUAACAAAAUUAUAUAAUAGUUUCAAAGUGCACAAAAAUUACUAGGAAUUAUAUCUAACAAAUUGGUACCCUUAUUUUCUUUUGAUGUAGGGGUGUACAAGUUUGGAAACAUUGAAGUUGUCCUUCAUGCUUGUGCCUGACUUGAGGAUUAUAUGGAAGGGUCUCGUGCCAUGUAAUUUGACUACUUUGAAGGUGGAAAGGUGUGAGAGACUGACACAUGUAUUCACAGACAGCAUGAUUGCUAAUCUAGUUCAACUGAACUUUCUAAAGAUAUCAAACUGUGAGGAAUUGGAGCAAAUCAUUGCUAAGGAUAAUGAUGAUGAAAAGGAUAAGAUAUUGUUAGGAAGUGAUCUCCAAUCUUCAUGCUUCCCUAAUUUGUGUCGACUUAAGAUUAGAGGAUGCAACAAGUUAAAGAGUCUCUUCCCAGUAGCCAUGGCUUCAGGUCUCAAAAAGCUCCAAGAACUUAAAGUAAGUGAAUCCUCUCAAUUAUUGGGAGUAUUUGGGCAGGAUGAUCAUGCUUCACCUGCCAAUAUUAAGAAGGAGAUGGUGCUCCCUGAUCUGCACGAGUUGUUGCUUGUACAAUUACCAAGUAUUUCCUGCUUUAGUCUCGGAUGUUAUGAUUUCUUGUUCCCUCAUUUGGAGACAUUACAGGUGCAUGGAUGUCCAAAGCUAACCACAAUAUUUGGUACUACAUCAAAUGGUUCAACGAGUGCUCAAUCAGAGGUGUUGUAUAUUUGACAUGAUUUCUUGCCUCUCGUUUAGUUUUAAAAGUGCACAAUAAUUACUAUGAAUUACAUCUAACAAAUCGGUACCCUUGUUUUCUUUUGAUGUAGGGGUUUAUGAAUUUGAAAGAAAUCUAUUGAAAACUUGGAAAGGAGUACAAGAUUUAAUGCAAGUUGGAUGUUUGAUAACUAAUAGAAGAGGUGGGCAUGAACUUUCAAUCGUGAGUUUGGAAACAUUACACUUGAACUUAUUGCCAAACUUGAGGUGUAUUUGGAAAGGUCUCGUGCCGAGCAAUUUGACUACUUUGAAGGUGAACGAGUGUAAGAGACUGACACAUGUAUUCACAGACAACAUGAUUGCUAGUCUAGUUCAACUGAACUUUCUAAAGAUAUCAAACUGUGAGGAAUUGGAGCAAAUCAUUGCUAAGGAUAAUGAUGAUGAAAAGGAUCAGACAUUGUCAGGAAGUGAUCUCCAAUCUUCAUGCUUCCCUAAUUUGUGUCGACUUGAGAUCACAGGAUGCAACAAGUUGAAGAGUCUCUUCCCAGUAGCCAUGGCUUCAGGUCUCAAAAAGCUCCAAGAACUUAAAGUAAGUGAAUCCUCUCAAUUAUUGGGAGUAUUUGGGCAGGAUGAUCAUGCUUCACCUGCCAAUAUUAGAAAGGAGAUGGUGCUCCCUGAUCUGCACGAGUUGUUGCUUGUACAAUUACCAAGUAUUUCCUCUUUAGUCUCGGAUGUUAAUUUCUUGUUCCCUCAUUUGAGAAGUUAAGGUGGAUGGAUGUCCAAAGCUACCACAAUAUUGCUACUACAUCAAAUGGUUCAAUGAGUGCUCAGAGGUGUUGUAUAUUGACAUGAUUUCUUGCCUCUCGUUUAGUUUUAAAAGUGCACAAUAAUUACUAGAAUUACAUCUAACAAAUCGGUACCCUUGUUUUCUUUUGAUGUAGGGGUUUAUGAAUUUGAAAGAAAUAUCUUUGAAAACUUGGAAGGAGUACAAGAUUUAAUGCAAGUUGGAUGUUUGAUAACUAAUAGAAGAGGUGGGCAUGAACUUUCAAUCGUGAGUUUGGAAACAUUACACUUGAACUUAUUGCCAAACUUGAGGUGUAUUUGGAAAGGUCUCGUGCCGAGCAAUUUGACUACUUUGAAGGUGAACGAGUGUAAGAGACUGACACAUGUAUUCACAGACAACAUGAUUGCUAGUCUAGUUCAACUGAACUUUCUAAAGAUAUCAAACUGUGAGGAAUUGGAGCAAAUCAUUGCUAAGGAUAAUGAUGAUGAAAAGGAUCUCCAAUCUUCAUGCUUCCCUAAUUUGUGUCGACUUGAGAUCACAGGAUGCAACAAGUUGAAGAGUCUCUUCCCAGUAGCCAUGGCUUCAGGUCUCAAAAGCUCCAAGAACUUAAAGUAAGAGAAUCCUCUCAAUUAUUGGGAGUAUUUGGGCAGGAUGAUCAUGCUUCACCUGCCAAUAUUAAGAAGGAGAUGGUGCUCACUGAUCUGGAGUGGCUGAUUCUAGAAAAAUUACCAAGCAUUGUCUACUUCAGUCAUGGAUGUUGUGAUUUCAUAUUCCCUUGUUUGAGGACGUUGGAGGUGCGUCAAUGUCCAAAGCUUACCACAAAAUUUGAUACUACAUCAAAUGGUUCAAUGAGUGCUCAAUCAGAGGUGUUGCAUAUUUGACAUGAUUUCUUGCCUCUUUUUUAAGUGUUUUUAUUUCUUGUUUCCCUCAAUAAUCAGAAUGUGUAUGCCAUGCUUGAAUUGGCUUUGCAGGUAUCUCAAGUAGCUAAGGGUUCCAGCACUGGUUGCUCCGUGCCAUCCAACACUUGUAGAACGUGGACCUCAUAUAAUGGGUGGAAAGAGGAAAAAGAGGAAGAGGAUUAGUUUGGCAUUGGAAUUUGAAAAACAUGCUACUAAUUCAUUCUUCCAGGUAAAAUGGCUGCAACUAUUUAUCUUCUAUGCUUCUUUAAAUGGUUGGAUUAAAUCAACAAAUACGAGAUGCCUGGAUGAUUUUGUUCUUGAUGUUUGCAUUAGGUUGGUUGGUUACCUAUGUGAUGAUCAACUCGACAUUGGUGGGAAGUAAUUCCAGCUGUUUCAUUAGCUACAACAAUUUGUCUUAUUUCAUGUGUUUGUUGUGUGAAAUUCCAGAAAUGUUGUGUGUUUAGUAAUUUGUGUUUCUUUUCAAGUGUCUGAACCUUCAAAAACGAAAGGCAUAAUGUUUACUCAUUUGUGUGCUUGUUGUUUAAUGUGUGGAUUCUUAUUCUUUUCAUUUUAAUGUUCUAUUUCUAUUACGGAUUCUUUAUGUGGUUAACUUGUUAUAGUGCGUAUCGUACAAUAAUAUGGUUUCUACAUGAAUAUAUAUAAAUACAUGUAAAUGAGUGUGUGUAUAUAUAUAUAUAUAUAUAUAUAUAUAUAUAUAUAUAUAAUCAAUUUACAAAUUUAUUGACAGAAUAUUAAAAAUUCCAAUAUAUAUAUAUAAGUAAAAGGAUAAAUCCUCUAGCUUUGAAAAGAAUUAGUGUUUGCCUUUGAGAUUGUAAUUUUUUUUUUUAGCGUAUAUUCAAUUUAAUAUUUUUAAUAAUACAAAUGAAAAUAAACAGCAAAUUUAAUUUAUAAAUGUGACUAUCUCAAAACAAUGUUGAGAAGGAAGAAAGAUUAGUAGAAUAAAAAUAAAAUUAAUAGACUUUUAAAAAGCAAAGAGUUUUUAAUGUUAAAAUUUUUUUUUUUUAUUUAAUAGACUCAAUUAUGUAUUUUUUUUUAAAAAAGAUAACUCUAUUUUAAUUCUGACUUUUAGCAACAUGUCAUCUUAACAUACCUGUAAGUGUGGAUAUUAAUGGCUGCGAAUCAUUGGAAGAGGUAUUUGAAUUGGGUGAGGCUGAUGAAGGAACCAACGAGGAGAAGGAGCUGCCGCUGCUGUCAUCUUUAACAGAGUUACGGCUGUACUGGUUACCUGAGCUCAAAUAUAUAUGGAAGCGGCCCACUAGAUAUGUUGAACUUGUGGUAUCUUGACAAACUGACAUUUAUCUUCACACCGUCGCUGGCUCAGAGUCUUAUUCAUCUGGAAACACUACAGAUUUAAAGGCCAUUAAAGGCCACGAAGAAUUGAGUAAUUUGUUACCACAGCUACAAGUGAUUUUUUAGCUAAAUUCAAUACAUUGUGAUAAUUUCUUAUUUCUUCCUUCAUAUUUAUAAAACUAAAGUAAUGGAUAAAUGCUAGCAAAUCCUUCCGCCAAUUAAUAAAAAAUGGUUUUUUUAUCCAUUUUCCUAAACAAUUAGAGUCAAAAAGUAAAAAUUGAAACUUUCUUUUUAAAUACAAUAUUUUCACAUUAAAAGAACUUCAAAAGCAACAAAUUUGUAAUUAAACAAAUAUAUUUUUGUCUCUUAUGUAUUUGUUUAUUCUAACUUAAAAUACUAAUUAAACAGUCUAAUUUUUUAAUUUGAUUUAUGAUUUUUUAAAAAAACAUUUGAUUAUCACAACAUGGAAUAAAAGUUUAAAAAAAAAACAUUCUCGGGCCUACACAACACAUGAGCUGAUUAAAUGGCGACAAUUCCAUUAGCAAAUUUGUGCUACAAAUGACAAAAUAAAAAUAAACUCAGCAAACAAGAUCAGUCCUAGUUAAUUUUGUCAACUGUUGGCCUAUUCCAAACUAUCAAGCCUUGAACCUUUCCAAAUUAAUUGUUUUUUUUUUUUCAAUUUGUUUUGGUCUAAUUGCAUUGAUUGCUUGGUUGAUUGAAUGAAUGGUGCAGUCCUCAUUUUCAUUUACUUUUGGCAUAACACAAAAACAUCCCUUUCAAGUUACAAAACGACGUGCAGCUCAGUCAAUGCCUCCAUUGCCUACCGCCUUCAAAAAAUCAACUGCUUAGUUGGAUACGUCCUUGGCUUGCUUAGAGCAACAGCCACAUUAAAUGACAGCCACCGAAAUGUUUGACAUGUGGCCUAGAAUGUGAAUUAUGUGUUAGCAAUUAGCUAAUUUUUUAAUUUGAUUAAUUUGAUUAAUUUAAUUUGUUACGGUGGUGUUUGAUUUGGUGUUUGAUAAUUGAAGAUGAUUAGUAACUAACACUAUCUUAUUUGAUAGAUGUGAGAAUAUUUAAAUGCUUAAAUAUUUAUGUAGUGAGACAAAAUACAAUGAUAUUUUAGAGAGAUAAAUUUUAAAAAUAUAUAUUCUAAAAAUGUUAAAAAUAGAAAAAUUAUAAACCUUAAACUUUGAGGAUUUAUACUAUAUUUAUAAUUUAUAAGUCUUGUUUUUUUUAGAGAAAAGAGAUUAAAAAAUAAUUUUAUCUUUGUGAUAUUUUAUUUAAAAUAAUAUGGGUUUUAUUAAUAUAAAAUAUUAAAGGAUUUUUACAGGAUAUUAAUUUUUUAAAAAAAUAAAAUAUUGAGCCUAAGCCUAGUAGAAGUAAAAAAUAAACUUACGAACAAGGUAUAUGGAUACAGGCAGCGCUUGUAAAAACCUAGAGCAGUUAGGCUUUUGGGAGUUUUUUUAAGCCAUUUAAAUUUUGGUCUAAAGCGAAUAGAAGUGAUAAUCUCUUCUUUUGUUCUACUGAAAUUCUUGACGUUUAGGCUGCGAAUAAAUUUAUCUCAUCUUGUUUACCUAGAAAAUUGAGGGAAAGUAGCUGAAAUAAUUUAAAACCAUUUAAGAUUUUUGUAAGUUUAGCUAGUUUACUCAUUCACUUUCCUGUAGUUUCUCAGAUACCAAACACGUUUUUAUAUGUUGAAUAAAUAAUUAACCACCAAUUAAAGCAGAAGGAACAUUUGUGUUUGAAUCCUGAGAAAAUUGAGUAGGAAAAUAAAGGGAAAUUUUUGCAUUUUAUGAAGUUUAUUUUUCUUAGUUAUGAUGAUUUAUUGUUUUGGAGGUCCCUAAAAGUAGAAUAAUGGUCCCCAAAUUUACAAUGUUUUCCUGUAAUCAAACAGUGCCUUUUUUAAAACUGCUCAAUUAUUAAUCGCUUGGUGUCUACUUGUCAAUUCAAUUGACCUCUUACAACCACAUGAUGAGCUUGUUAUUGUGCUCAAUUAGGGCUCGAUCUUCAAAAGCUCAAUCUUCGAAUCUUCUUCUAAAAUCUUUAAUUUUGCUCUGAUAUUUAUGAAAAUGUAAUUCAUUAUUAAACCUAAAAACUUCUAUAACUCCAUUCUCAAUCCCAAAAUUUUGACUUGAUUUUGUCAUAAGUUUUGGUUUAAAUCAAAAGUUAAUUCUAGUCAAAACUCGUACCAAGUUUAAUUUAAAUUUUGACUUAAAUCAAGAUUUGUUAUAAAAUUGAGUCAAAACUUUACUUUAAUUAAUAAAAAAAUAAAAUUUUAACUUAUGAUAAUUUUUUCUUGAGUAAAAAGUUAAAAAAAAACAACUUAAAUUAAUUUGCAAAACUUAACCAUAUACAAUCAAAAUUUGGACUUAAAUCAAUUUGUUAUUACACAGUUAAUAAUCGAAAGUUACUUUAAAUUAUGACUUGAAGUCAAAAUUUACUUUUCAUAAAUGUUGCCACAGAUACCCUAACUUCAAGUCCACAAAUUAACCAAUGCUCUUCAAUACUACAAAUAAUGUAAUCAAUGGUCGUCCUCUAUCUGUAGCAAUGGCAAUGACAAAGACAGUUGCAUUUUCUUGAGCAUAGUUGUUUAAUGAGGUUCGGUUAAGAUAGAAAGGAGAGAUUUUGACGAGCAAGUCCAAAUAAUUGCCUUUUUUUAUUGUAAUUCCAAAUAAUGUCCUUUUUUAUUGUAAUUUCAAAUAAUGUCCUUGAUUUAUGAAUCUUGAUAUAGAAAUAAUGAGUAAUUUAUUCUUCUUCUUCCAAUAACUAAAUGUUCGUUCAUACGAGGAGGUGAUGGUAUUGAAAUUUAUCAUUAUCAUUUCAGAAUAAGAAAAUCAAAGAUUCUGAAUAUAAAAAAGAUGUUUUUAUGUGAUUGUUAUCUCAAAAGUUCUAAAAUUUAUUCCUAAAUUAUCACAAAGAUAUAUAUUUUAUUUUUUUAUUUAUAUAUUUUUAAUCAAAUAUAUUUGUAUUUCUCGUCCCUUGAACAGUGUUUUAAGACCUGGCCCGGCCCGGCGGGUCGACCCGUGACCCGGGCCUGUGGCCGGGCCGGGUGGAGGCCAAAACCCGCUUGGAAAUUGGCCCGGCCAGACCCGGUCGACCCGGAGGGUCGACACGGGACCCGGCUGAGACCCGGCCACUUUUAUUUUUUUUUCCUGUCAUUAAACCACGGCGUUUAAUGACAUUUAAAAUCCUAAAAAGUUAAAACGCUCGGCUGAAAACUGAAGACAGAAGAAGAUCGAAGCACUUAACGGUCUUAACCUAAUUAUCUUACUCUGCCUUUGAAAACUGAACGGAGCAGAAGAAGAACGAAGCCCACACGCAUUUUCACACCACCGAUUUAAAGCUUAGCCGCGCACCCUCAAAGCCCUCACAUUAUUCCCAGCAAAGCUAGCUCGCUCCCUCCACAGAUUAAAAAACAAAAAAACACAGAAAGCAAUUCAUGGACUCUAUCAAUUCCUUCAAAGGAUAUGGUAAGGUGGAUGAAGCAGAGCAGCAAGCCUUCUGGAAGAAAUCGCGGAAGCGUUUGAUCAUUAUCGUUGUCUCCUCCAUUGUUCUUUUAGCUGUGAUAAUUGGUGCUGUUAUAGGAGUUGUUGUGCACAAACGAAACAACAAGUCAUCAUCCGACCCGGUUCCUCCUCCUGAGUUGACUCCAGCCACUUCACUGAAGGCGGUUUGCAGUGUGACUCAGUACCCAGCCUCAUGUUUCUCCAGCAUCUCUGCCCUUGAAAUGGGUAACACCACAGAUCCGGCAGUGCUUUUCAAGCUCUCUUUACGUGUUGCAAUGAAUGAGCUCUCCAAGCUCAAAGACUACCCCGAUAAGCUCAUACAAAGCAUUAAUGACACAAUCCUUCAAGAUGCUUUGAAAGUCUGCUCAACCGUGUUUGAUGAUGCUGUAGAUAGACUGAAUGACUCCAUAUCAUCAAUGGCUGUUGGUGAAGGUGAACAGAUUUUAUCACUAGCUAAAAUGAAUGACUUGAAGACUUGGCUCAGUGCUACAAUUACCGACCAAGAAACAUGUUUAGAUGCUCUGCAAGAGUUGAGCACUACAAAGCAUUUUAACCAGACACUUGUUGAUCAAGUCAAGACAGCAAUGGAGAACUCUACCGAGUUUGUUAGCAAUAGUUUGGCCAUUGUUGCAAAAAUCCUGGGUUUGUUGUCUGAUUUCAAAAUCCCAAUUCAUAGAAGGUUACUUGGAUUUGAAAGAAGCCAUGUUUCAGAAUUUCCUCAAUGGGUUAGUUUGGGUUUUUUUUUUUUAUAUAUAGUUUUUCUGGGUUGACCCGGGUUAACCCGGGUCAACCCAUCUGACCCGUGACCCGAUCACUUGACCGGGUUAAUGACCGGAUCGGGUUUAAAAACUAUGCCCUUGAAUACUAAUCAAAUAUAACCUACAUAACCAUUUUUUUUCAUUCGAUUUCUAAUUUGUUUUUAAAGCAUUUGAUUAUUGCAUCAUAAAAUAAAAUAAAAGUUGAGUAAAAACAAGCACCCACACCCCUGCAUAUUAAAUUCGCUUAUAAAAUGGUUCAUUAGGUAAUUUGGGCCACAAAUACCAAAACCAAAAUAACCUUAACCAAUAGUCAUCGCUCCAAAUUAAUUUUAGAAUUAGAUUUAUUUGACUUAUAUCUGAAAGAUAUUUAUCUGAAUUUCAUCUUGUAAAAUUAUUCGUGAGUGGAGUAUUUCAUGAAAAUCGAUAAAAGAAAUUCUACUUUAAUUUUUUGUCAAGAUAUGUCUAUCUUGAUAGAAAAAAUUAGGAAUGUAUUUCUCCUCCCUCGGAUUAAACCCGGCCCGGGGGUUGACCCGGCCAAGGGACCGGGUCUCGGGUUUCAUGGGUCAACCCGGGUCAACCCGGAUUAACCCGGAAUAAUUAAAAAUAAUAAUAAAUUAAUAUUUCAUAUGAAAAAAUUCAUGUAAAUAUAGAUUAUACAUAUUAUAAAUAAUGAAGUUUAAAAUAAUAUUUUAAAAAGUUUUUUAUCCCACAUUAAAAAGAUAUUAUGUUAAGCUUUUAAGUUGAAGUAUUUAAAUUAAAAAAGUUUUUUAUCCCACAUUGAAAAAACAUAACUUUUUUCUUUGGGAACAUAAAGUAUAUAUACUAAUGGGUUUCAAAUCCCACAUUGAAAAAACAUAACUUUUUUCAUGGGAACAUAGAGUAUAUAUAUGAAAGGGCUUCAAAUCCCACAUUGAAAAGAUACUAUGUUAUCCCUUUAAGUUGAAGUAUUUAAACCAAAAGGUUUUUUAUCCCACAUUGAAAAAACAUGAUUUUUUCCUUGGAAACAUAGAGUAUAUAUACUAAUGGGUUUCAAAUCCCACAUUGAAAAAAUAUAAUUUUUUUCAUGUAAACAUAGAGUAUAUAUAUGAAAGGGCUUCAAACCCCACACUGAAAAGAUACUAUGUUAUCAUUUUAAGUUGAAAUAUUUAAACCAAAUUUUUUUUUAUCCCACAUUUAAAAAAAAAAAAAAAACCAGGGUCUCGGUUUGCCCGGGUCGCCCAGGUCCCAGGUCGCCCGGGUUUGGCCAGGCUGUUACCACAGCCGGUCUUUUGUUAAACCCAAACCGGUCCAGCCACCGGGUCGACCCGCCGGGCCGGGCCGAGUUUAAUAACUAUGCUCCCUCCAAUACUCCAAUAGUAUAGGUUCAAGCCUCAUUCCCGAUGUAGAGGGGGAGAUCGUUAAACUUGAUGAUUAAAGUAGUGUUUAGUAUUAUUUUAGAAUAUAAAAGAUAAAGAUUGUGAAAAUGAAGAAGACAUGUUUUCAUAUUUUUUUUGUUUUAAGAAUAUAAAAAUUAAUAAAAAAAAAUGAUUCCAAAAACAAAUUUAUUUUACAUAACUAUCUUUAUUUUCUUCAACAAAUAUAUUUUUGUCUAUUAUGUAUUUUUUUCUUCUAACUUAAAAUACUAAUUAAACACCGUCUAAUAUUUUAAUUUGAUUUGUGAUUUUUUAAAAAACCAUUUGAUUAUCACAACAUAGAAUAAAAGUUUAAAAAAGAAAUACUCACAGGCCUACACAACACAUUAGCUGAUUAAAUGACGACAAUCCCAUUAGCAAAUUCAGCAAACAAGAUCAGUCCUAAUUAAUUUUUACACAAGUAUGUUGUCAACUGUUGGCCUUUUCCAAACUGAGAAAAUUGAGUUGGAAAAUAAAGGGAAUUUUUUUAAUCAAAUAGAAAAAGUAAUACCCAUAAAUUGAAAAAUAACUUAAAUCAAAUUAUAAAAGUAAUACCCAAUAUAACUUAAAUUUAGCUUAUAGUACGUAUGCUUCUUAUUCUUACCCAUAAAAUUGGCAAUUUCCUAUACAGCAUAUGCUUCUUAUUAAUAAACACUAAUGAUCCAACAAUUGAACCAUGUAUAUAUGUUAUUAAAUGAAUUGAAGCUCCUUUUGAAAUUUAGACAUCAAAGAAUUCGGACCUAUACGUACUUGCUAACUACAGUAGCAUGUUAACUCUAGUCCUUAAUGCUUUGAACUUUUUUUUUCCAACAAUUUCUUUGACACAAUAAAUUGGACUUUCAUUGAAAUUAGCCUCUUUAAGUUCAAAAUUACACCAUUAUAGAUAUUCACAUAAAAUGGCCCACUCAGUCACAGCUUUGUAAAAGCUUAAAAAGUAGCUAGCAACUUAAUGGCUUAGAGGCCGUUUGGCACUGCGAUCCAAACGAUUUUUUGCAAAAUUUCAAAAAAAAAAUUUUUUGCUAAAAUUGAGUGCGGUUUGUACUUUCUGAAUCAUUUUGAUGUGCUGAUAUCAAAAAUGAUUUUUAAAAAAUAAAAAAACAUUAUUGACAUGCUUUUCGGCACGAAAUGCUAUUUGAAAAGCAACCGCUACCACACUCCCUAACAUCGACAAAUGCUCUCAGUCGAGUAAAUAAGUUCGGUACGUUUCAGUUAAGCUAGAAUUCAAUUAAUCAAUUUAAAAAAAAAAAGAAAAAACGAGUUUUUUUCUUUAUAUUAUACUAAAAAAAAUAAGUCUUUCACCGUGAAUUCACAUAAUGAAAGAGUGAUUUAUCUUUUGGUAGACAAAAUAGCAUGCCUUAGGUCUAGGGGUAUUGUCAUAACUUAUUUUUGGGUUAUUUUCCAAAUUCACUUUUUUUCUUCCAAAAAAUAAAAAAAAAAUUCAAACUAAAAAAAUAAAAAAUCCAAAAAAAAUAAUAACAAUACGAAGAGGAUGUCAGAGCGUCUAGAAAAUGGCGCUCGAAAAUUCAAAAAUUAAAAUUUGACUGUAUAUAUUUUUAUAGAUGAAGAGUCCUGUUGAUAAAGAAAAAUUCAAUUCGAGGAAAAAAGUCCAAAAUCAAAUGUUUAUGGACUCAAUUAAAUUUUAUUAGAGGUUUAAUUGAAUUUAUAUAGGGUUUGAUUACAAGAAAAAUUGAUUUUUAAAUCAAUUUAGGCUUUAAUCGGAAGAAAUUAAAGUUUCGCGGUCAAAAUAGGAUUUUUAAGAGUUGAUUUGGUCAAAUCAUGGCCUUAAUUGCAUGGAUAUUUAAGUCUGAUGGCCAAUUAAGGACUUGAUUGAAGAAAUCCAAAGCCAAGGACCAAAUGGAAAAGGGCGCGUAAAUAAAGGGGCUGAAAUUGACCAAAUCAAGGGUCAAAUUGAAUGAAUUUGAAGAUUAUUGAUCAAUUAAGGGUCAAAUUGCAUAAAUCUGAAACUAAGGACCAAAGGAAAAAAUGCGUCGAAAUCUGGGGUUGAAAUUGAAGUUCUUCAUGGGUAAAUUGAACAAAAUUAAAAGUUUGAAGCCAAUCAGGGGUGUAGAUAGAAAUAAAUCACAAAUUGAAGGACUAAAUCGUAAGACUGGUUGGGUGGCCACCUUCCCAAGGCAUUUGACGCCUCGUUUCGUCACCAAAUUGGAUGAAAUGUACACGAAAACAAUCCUGUGAUACCUGACUACACACUAGUGUAAGCUAUUCAGGCUGAUCGAAGCUGCAGAGGCGAUGGCACCUCCCCAAAGUGGCAAACCCGACCAGCCAUUUUUCCUGCAAAACUGAUAGUUCAUGAUUGCUACUUUGAGCCAAUGGUUGGCAUGAUUUCUUGUCGAAACAAAGGCUGAGAUUUUUCACCAUAAGAAACAAAGUGUCCCUCUUCCUCCGCCUAUAAAUAGAUUUGAUUUUCAUGCCUCAGGGGAGGAGAAAUUUCGGUCUAGAGAAAACCAAAAAACCAACCUUUUUAAUCUGGUUUCUGCUGCCAGCAGAACCUCUCUGUUUCUCUCUCCACCGCGGCCUCCUGCCGCGACCACCACCAGUCUGUCCACCUCCAUAUACACCAACCCAGAUCUUUAUAGGAGGCGGAUCAGCCACCACGAUUGUCACCAUCGUUAGCCUCUGCAUAUUUCUUCUCUUUUCUUCCUCUUCUUGUAGCAACCACCGUCUGCCACUGCAGCAAUACCACCGUCACCACCAUCCAUCGUCAGCUCAGCUACCAGAGCACCUCCAUUCCAGGUAAUUCUCGUCCUUCAUCUUUGUUUUCCCGUUUCAUUCCCUUGCAUGCAGAAUGUGUACUGUGCACGUUUCCCGUUUCAUUCCCUUGCAUGCAGAAGGUGCACUGUGCACGUUUUUGCAAUGCAAGGCAAAAUAAUUACCCGGUUACUGUGCAUGAGCGCACAGUAACCGGAUAAUUACAUUUGGCUGGUUAUUGUGCAUGUCACAAUAACUAGCCCGGGUUGGAUCAUGGCUGCCACUCCGGGUUGGAUCAUCAGCCCAGUCCACGCGGCUGGGCUGAGUCCAACCCAAUAUAAGGUAGUUUUUGUUUUAUUCGGGUCGGUCCCAGCCCAAUUUUGUUUCGGGUCCGGCCCGUUCAAAAAUUUACAAAAAAAAAAAUACGUUUUCAAAAACAUCCGUGAUUUUCUUGCAUAUAUUUUUUAUCCAUUUUAAUUGAUAUUAGUUCAUUUUUUAUAUACCGUAAAAGCACAAAUGCGGUAUUAAAAAACCCGGUUUUCAUCAAAGCAUAAAAAAAACAUGUCUUUGUUUUCAUGCAUACUGCUAAGUCUCUAAAAAGCAAAAAAAUCAUAUGGUAUUUUCAUACAACAAAGAAAACUUUUUUAAAAAAAUAUAUAUGUUUUAGCAUGCAUCUGGGCUUUAAUAACAAGUUUAUUAAAGUCACAAGAACUAGGCCAAUAUUUCAAAAAAACAUCAAAAACAAUAUAUAUUUUUUCUCUUUUAAUAUCCAGGAUUACUAAUUUAUACAUAAAACGUACUCCUGUUAUUAAAUAUGUAGUUUUUUUAUUUGAUGUUAGCACAAUUAGGUUUUAUCCUAUAAGGUAAGAACCUCCUUACUGAGGAGGGCUUUUCUUGAACCAUAGACGGACCAACAAUUAAAAAACAUGACAAGACCAUAGAUUUUUUAUCAGACAAAAAAAUAACACAACUUACCUUAGGUAGGGUGUAUUUUGGGUGCUAAUACCUUCUCUUUACGCAACCAGUCUCCGUAUCCGAUCUCUGAGACUAGUUAAGGUUCCUAGUGACCAAAUUUACUGAUAAAAAACAAGAACUCCUUGUCUCCCCAUAUUUACCAGAUAUAUAUCUAUACAUGAGGGUGGACGAUCGUCGCGACGCCGCACACGUGCGACAUGUAUGAUGAUCUUUUUCAUAGAACACAUUGGUCAUUACUAAAAGGGGGACUAGAUGAUAUUUUUACAUUUUCUUUGCACAAUGUGAUUAUUUAAUUACCUUUGAAAGAUAAAAAAAAAAAAAUCACUUGGGUCUAGAGGCUUUUUUUUACUUGACUUUUCAACAAGUAAGUUACUUAAUCGCACAUGGAAAUUUAAAACAAUUGUCUUUGACUCGAGGGCUCUUUUGUCAUUUAGAUAUGGUCAUUUAAUAGUUAUUGGGUUCCAUUGAAGGCAAGAAUAUAAUUUGACGAGUCUUUAGGUUUUUAGUAAAGUCCGAGUCUAGAAUUUAAUGGUUUGCAGGUUUAAGAGAUUGACCCCGAUUUUUUUGUUUUUUUUUUCAUCCUUCAACAUUUUGUUCCUUUUUAAUUCACUUUAUAUGAUAUUUUUUAGUCUUUUUGAAAAUAUCAUAGGUUGCCUUGGUUUUUUAUUUUGUUUUUGUCUUUGUUGAAUUUCAUUUUUUAUGAAGGAAUUUUAUUUUUAAGUUGAAUUAAAUUGAUUGAUUUCAUCCUCUAACAUUUAGUUUUUUAGGUGUUGAGCUCGGGUCAAGAAUUUAAUGUAUUGCAUGUUUGAGUGUUUAACUUGAGUUUACAUGGUUCACUCGAGCUUCUUUGAUUUUUUGUUUCACUUUUGUAAGCUCUUUUUUUUCAUAUUUCAACCUCUAACAUUCUUUUUUACUCAUUUUCUAUUGGAGUUUUUUUUAAAAUAAAAAGGGUACGACUCAAAGUUUUUUUUUUAAUAUUUGUUAAUGGUUUCCCUCAAUCUCAUAACUUGUAUGACGGGUUUGACAGGUGUUGUUACCCAUUUUUGGAUUCCCACACAAAAAUAAAAAAAAUACAAAAAAAAUAAUUGGAGCGAGAAAAGGGAUGAUGGAAUACCAAGAAAGGUCAAAAUUGGUUGAGGAGGUUUCAAAAUGCAAAAGAUUGAAAUUUAACAGUAUAUUUUCGACUAAUGAGAGCCACGUUGACAAAGAAAAUUCAAGUUAAGGAAGAAAAUUUCAAAAUCAAAUGUUUACGGACUCAAUUAAAUUUUAUCUAAGGUUUAAUUGAAUUUAUGAAGGGUUGGAUUGUAAGAAAAAUUGAUUUUUAAGUCAAUUUAAGCUUUUAUUGGAAGAAAUUAAAGUUCUGGAGUCCAAUUAUAAUUUUUAAGAGUUGAUUUGUUCAAAUCAGGGGUUUAAUUGCAUAAUUAUUGAAGUUUGGUGGCCAAUUAGAGAUUUAAUUGAAACAAUCCGAAACCAAGGACCAAACCGGAAAUGGCGCUAAAAUCAAGGGAUCUAAUUACAAUUUAUCCGGGGGCUUGAUUACAAAAUUGCAAAAACAUCCAAGGACCAAAUCAGAAAUAUGCAUGUUGAAUUAACAAACGGCGUCGCUUCCUUGUCAGCUACUGAUCACCUUCUUCAUCCGCAACGGCUUCAACAGUGAAUGAGCGCUAUCAAUGGAGCCAUUUCAGCAACAAAAACAGCAGAUUGCUUCAGUUAUAGGGAAUGUUUCACGGCUACAAUUCAGACAUGCCGUUACCAAGUUAGACGUUGCACCGCAGGCCAUUCUUUGGCUUAUAAAAGCUAGAGAAAGACAGUGCACCAGGGAGGAAAAAGGUGAUAAAAACGGAGGGGAAACGAGACAGAGGAAAGAAAAGAAAAGAAAAGAAAAACAGAGGAGGGAGAGCAGGGGCAGAAAGAACGUGAUAAAAAAGAGAGGGAAAGAACAGAGAGAAGACACGGAGAGGGAGAAGAGAAGAAGAAAGAACGGGACAGAAGGAGAGUGAAGGAAGAACAGAAACACAAGCAGAAGGCAGGAGGAAGAAGAAGAAAAUACAGAAAAAACCGAAGCAGCAUCCUCCGUGUACCACCACCCAUCUUCCUCUUCGCCUCCACCAGCGGCACCACUAGCAACAGCAGCACCUCCACGAAGCAACUGCAGAGAGGAAAGAGAACAGUUGACAGGAGGAACCCAAAACAAAGGAUAGACAGCACGGUGGAACAGAGGACGAAGAGGGGAGAAACAAUGGCGUCUCUGCAACGGGGAAGAAGAAGAAAAACAGUAGCACCAACGGGCUUCUCAGCAACCACCACAGCCGGCUACCGCGACAACAACGCCACCGUGAGCCCAGCUACCAGAGCAUCUCCAUUCCAGGUAACACUCUUCUCUUUCUUCUCGUCUGCCCGGCUGGUCCCUUGCAUGCAGAACGUGCGUUCACGUUUCUGCAGCAACGAAAAUAAUUAACCGGUUACUGUGCAUGAGCACAGUAACCGGCUAAUUAUAAUUAGCUGGUACAUGUGUGUGUGUAUAAAUCUUCAAAAAUUAUUUCAAAAAAAUCUGUGAUUUUCCAUAAUUUUUUUACUGUAUUUUGAUCAACACCGAUUUGUAUUUUUACAUUGUAAAGAUACAAAUCAUGUAUUAAAAAUACCUGAUUUUCGUCAAGACAUUAAAAAGUAAUAAAAAAUUAAAAAAAUAUUUUGUUUUCGUGCAUACGGACUAGUCUUUCAAAUAAUAAUAAAAAAAUCAUAUCAUAUUUUCAUACAAAAAAAAAUUCAAAAAUUUAUAUUAUUAUGUAUUUUGGCUUUAAUAACCAGUUUAUUAAAGUUAUGAAAACUAGGCCAAUAUUUUAAAAAAUUUCAAAAAAAUUAUUUUGUUUUCUUUUAAUAUCUAGGGUUAUGAUCUUAUACGUAAGACGUAUUCCGGAUAUUAAAAAAAAAAUUUGUUGACGUUAGAACACUUAAGUUUUUUCCAAUAAGAUAAAGAUCUUUUUAUUGAGGAGAACUAUUCUUAAACUUUAGACGCACAAAAAAAAAAAAACCUUAGAUAGGGCGUAUUUAGGGUGCUAAAACCUUUCCUUUACGCAACCAGUCCUCAUACCUGAUCUCUAUGACCAGUUAGGGCUCCUAGUCAUGACCAAAAUACUAGGUCGCGACUCUCAUUCCAAUUUUUCCACUAAUAAAAGACAAGAAUUCAUUGUCUCUCCAUAUUUGCCACAUUAAGAUAACAGAACUUGUGGGUGGAUGUUUUCACCGUGACGCCGCACACGUGCGACAACGGGUUAACUUGGUUUUUUUUUGUCUUUUUUUAAUUGGUAUUUUUUUUAAUUUUAUAAUUUAACAUUAAGUUGAUUAUAAAUUAGGUUUCAUGAUUUAAUUUGGUUUACUUUUUAUAAUGUUAUCCUAGUUUUAUGACUCAAGUCACAUGUUUUGCGAAUUAAGCCAUGUAGACUUAGGUCGUUUUAUUGUAUAAUGUUUUUAGAUUGAUUUUUUUUUUCAAUUUCAACAUUUAACAAUAAUUUUAUUGAAAAUUGAGUUUCAUAUUUUAUUUUGAUUUAUUUUCUAUGAGGUUAUUCUGGUAUCAUAAUCUAGGUCGUGGAUUUGAUAUGUUAACCUGAGUUAACUAGGUCGAUCAAAUAUGUUUUUGUCUCAAUAUUUUUUUAAAAAAAUAUGUUGUCUUGAAUUUUUUUAACUUAAGGUUGCCUCAGGUCUUUUUUUUUUUAAUCUUUUUUAAUUUAUUUUUUGUAAAAUUUCAUCAUUUGAUAUUUGAUUAAUUGGGGAUUAAACUUCAUAGUUUGUUUAUAUUGUUUUCUAUGGAGUUAUCCUAGUCAUAUGACUUGGGUUGUAGUUUUGACAGGUGAACCCGAGUUGACUCGAGUUAUUUGUUUUUUCUCUUUUUUUUAAUUGUUUUUCUUUUUAAUUUCAUUCUUCAACAUUGAUUUAAUUGGGAAUUAGAUUUCAUAUUUGGUUUUGAUUUGCUUUCUAUGAAGUUUAUUUUAACCUCAUAAUUCGGGUCACAGAUUUGACAUGUUAACUCGAGUUAACGUAAGUUGAUCAAAUAUGUUUUUGUCUUAAUAAUGUUUUUUAAAAAUAUGCCUUCUUGAAUUUAUUUAGUCAAACUAUAUUUUUAACGGUUGUUAGAUUUAUUUUUUGACCUAUCAAGUUGACCAGGUCACAUCGAGACAAUCCUUACUUGAUUUUUUUUUAUUAGAAAGCACACUUAGCAAAUAAUAAUAUAGUCUUGAUAAAACUAAUUAAUCAAUUCCAUAGUUUCAAUAACAAUAUGUUUAAUUCUUAUAUUUUUAGUUAUUUAUAGUUUAGUACUGUCAAUUUCAAGUUCUUUUACAAGUUUUUUUUUUUUGCUUCCUUCUUGAAAAAAAGAAAAAGGAAAAGAAGAAGCAGCCAGUUGGGGAAAUUUCAUUAGGAAGGAAGCUAUCUUAUAUAUAUAGUUAAUGGAAUGUUUCAUAAAUAUACUACAAGGAUUAAAUAAUUAAUUUUAAUAAAUUACAGCGCUAAGUCAUAAUUAAAUCUUCAUUGACAUAUAGGAUUUUAUUAUUUGUUUUUUGAAGGAGAAUAUGUACAUGAAACAAUCUUUACUGUUCCUUCAUUUAGGAAUAUAGAAUUCAAAUAUGGUUUUAAGAGUAUAUAUUUAUAGGGUACAAAUCUGUUUGUAUAAGCAAUAUUUUCAUAAAUUUAUCAAUUCUGCAGCUGGAAAAAAGAAAUAGACUCAAUAUUCCACAUGAGAAAACCGAUAAAAUGAAAGAAAAAGAGAAUUCUUUCUUUAUCCAAAAAAUGCUUAACACAAUUUUAGUUACAGCACUACAACUCAACUGUUAUAUUAUCUUAAUUAACAAAAAAAUCCAUCAUAUAAUAAGCCAAAAAAAGUCCAUUCAUAAGCUCUUUCCCGGGGCAUAGGCUGACAGAUUUUAAACCCCAGAACUGAACACAAGUUGUAGGAUUUAAGUGUUGCAUUUUUUAUUAUAUAAUUAAAUAAAAAUAGCAUUUGCUUUGUUUUAUAGUAUUAAUUUUUUAUCAUAUAAUUAAAUAAAAAUAAUUUUAUAAAAAAAUAUUAAACUAAAUAGAAUUUAUGAUCAAGAAAACUCUUAAACAAUUUGAUUUGAAGCCCUAGUGAGAUAAAUAAUCAGAUUAAAAAAUUUCAAGAUUAACUCAUUAGACCGAGUUUAAUAAUUAGUCAAUAAAUUUUUCAUUACCUAAAUAUUAUUUUUUUAUAUUAAUUUUUCUCUUAUCCAACUAAUAACAUAAUGUUAACUAGUUCUAUUUCUAUUCGUUGAAGAACAAUGCUUUUCUAUGGAAAAAAAUAUAUUUUUAGGCCCUUGGGUAAUAAAAUACUUAAUUGAAAAAUCAAAAUAAUUUAGUAAUAAAAUUGAUAUAAAAAUAAAUUGGGUGCAAAAUCGAUAAUACCCAAGUAAUUUAAUGGUAUAUUUAAUGUUUGCCCCUGUUGAGAUUACGAAGAGACCAAAAAUAUAAGUAUUUAUAAAAAGAUUUUAGUUUUGAAGUUUUUAAAUCGAUUCUGGAGGACCACAAUAUCUCAGAGCACCACAUCAAAAGAUGAGAAAUUCCUGGAAGAUCACCACAUCAUGGUGUGUAUCUUGGACAAGCGGAAAGCACUUGUCGCCGUUUUGCCUUUUAGAAACUCUAAUGCUCCAAUACUUUCGGUGGAGUUUAGCUUCUUUUUUUAACUUAACCUUCAGCUCUGCUACAGUUCAAGGAUUUCUAUCCCUAAAUGAAAAAUGAAUUUUUGAGCAUAAAAUACCAAUAACCCAAUCCCGUCAUUAAAUUCUAAACAAGCAAACAACGCGUCAUUUUCAAAUGUAAUUGUAGCAAUACAUUAUUUUUUUCUUUUAUAAAGAAGAGAUGAUAUGUCUUCCACUUUUUAAUAUAAAAAAUUAAAAAGUUUGGUCCACGAGGGAGGCCUUUUCUUUAAUGAGUUAGGUACAUAGACCCACAUGUCUAACUUCCUUUGCCUUUUUUUUCCGCUGCAUUUUACACUUUAAUCAUUCUAAAGGACCAGUUAAAAAACAAUUAGAACUUGUGCAUCAUUUCCGCUGCAAUUCUUUUUAAUUUUUAAUUAUGUCUUGAUUAUUCCAUAAACAUAUGUUUUAUUAAAUAGAUGUGAUACAUUUUUUACUCAUGGUCAAUAACCCAAUUUUUACUCCCUUUAAAAAACAUUUAAAUUGUGCAUCAAAACAUUUUGUAGACAAAAUUGAACAUAUUUUUUUAAAAGAAACAAUUGUGAAAAAAUAUCAAGAAUUCAAAAAAUCACAAAAAAUAAAAUAAAAAUAAAAAUUAUAAUUUGGGAUGAAAUCAAAAAAAUAAAGAAAAUUUAAAAAGCAAGAAGUUAGGCCAACUAUAAUUUUGAGGACCAAUUAGAAAGUUUGAUUCAAAAGAAAAUUGAAGAAAAAGGUUGGAUUAAUUUGGCCAAUACUUUCGGUGGGUCAAGGAUUUUUAUAUCCAAGGGGGGUCAAGUUUUAAAAAGAAAAGGCAAAGAAAAACUGGCCCGGCCAUCGUAUCAAAAGAUGAGCUUACUUUUUCUUUUUUCCCUGUCUCUCACUCGUUGCUGUUUUCUCUUUUAAAAACUCAAAUUAAUAUUAAAUUAACAAGAAAAAACUAAAUUAGGUGUUUUUACCUCUCCUCACAAAUUACUAUUUGUUAAAUUAAUAUUUUUUAUUUUUUUAAUUAAUGUUUUUUAUAAAAACAAUUCAUUAUUUAAUUUUAGAUUUAUUUUUUAUUAGAUUAUUUAACUCCUAUUAGAUGAAUCACAUGUUUGGUGGGUUAAUACAGUUGACUCGAAUUUUUUUUUUUAAAUUAACUCUGAGUCUUGUUAUUUAAUAUUAGGUUGAUUGAUAAUUGGGUUUCAUAAUUUUUUUAUUGGGUUAUUUCGACUUCAUGAUCCGAGAAUGAUGCUUAAUGGAUUAACCCGAGUUAAUUCGGUUUAUUUUUUUUUUUUUUUUUUAAUUGAAUUUUUUUAUAAUUUUAUUAUUUAACAUUGAAUUGAUAGCUUUCCUUUGCAUGUCAACUUUUAUUAUCUUAUAGUUAGAAAGUAAAUACAAAAAAAUAAGUUAUUGAUCGCAUCCAUGCCCAUCGCUCAAUUUAUGGAUUUAGUGACUUAGCCCGAGAUAACCCAAGUCGAUAAAAAAAAUAUCAUCUUAACAUAUAAAAAAAAAACUUAAAAAAAUAUCAUCUUGAUUUUUUUUUUAAGUCACAUCAAGUAGCCUCUUGCCUUGUUUAAUUUGAAACUCAAUCCAUGUAAGGGUUUAUUUUGAGGGUUUAUUUUGAGAGGUUCCUUAACUUCUCAACUUGGUCUUUUGGUAUUGUUAACAAUUCUUUUUAAUUUUUAAUUAUGCCUUGAAUAUUUCAUAUAUUUUAUUAAAUAGACGUGAUACAUUUUUUACUCAUGGUAAAUAACCCAAUUUUUACCCCCUUUAAAAAACACAUAAAUUGGGAAUCAAAACAUUUUAUAGAAAAUUGAACAUAUUUUUUUAAAAGAAACAAUAGUGAAAAAAAUAUCAAGAAUUCAAAAAAAAAAUAAUAAAAAAAAUAAAAAUUAUGAUUUGGGAUGAAAUCAAACAAAUAAAGAAAUUUUAAAAAGCAAGAAGUGGUCUAAAACAAGUACAUCAUGCCAACUAUAAUUUUGAGGAUCAAUUAGAAGUUUGAUUCAAAAGAAAAUUGAAGAAAAAAGUUGGAUUUGUCGAAAUUCCUCGAAGAUCACCAUAAUAAGAUGGUGUGUAUCUUGGAAAAGUGAAAAAAGUUGGAUUUGUCGAAAUUCCUCGAAGAUCAAUCAUGUCCCUGUUUUGUCUUUUAAAAACUCUAAUAAUGCUCCAAUACUUUCGGUGGAGUUUAGCUUCUUUUUACAUAACCCCUUCAACUCUGCUACAGUUACUAUGGGGUUCAAUCCAGGAGGGGCAUCAAGUUUUAAAAAGAACAGGCAAAGAAAAACUGGCACCAUAUCAAAAGAUGAGCACUUACUGUCUCUCACUUGUUCCCGUUUUCUUUUCUAAAAACUCUAAUUACUAUAUAUUAAAUUAACAAGAAAAUACUAAAUGAGAAGGAGUUUUUAUUUGAUUAAUAUUUUUUUAAUUUUUUUAUAACUCCUCACAAAAUACUAUUUAUUUGAUUAAUAUUUUUUUAUUUUUUUAAUUAAUGCUUUUUUUUUUAUAAAAAAAUUCAUUGUUUAAUUUUAGAUUUAUUUUUAAUUAGAUUAUCUUACUCCUAUUAGACAGAUAACAUGGUGAGUUGAUCCAAUUGACUUGUUUUUUUAAUUAACUUUUUCUUCUCAGUCUUCUCAUUUAAUAUUAGGUUGAUUGAUAUUUAGGUUUUAUAAUUUGUUUUAUUUAUUUUUUAUUGGGUUAUUUCGACAUCAUGAUCCGAGAAUUAUGCUUAAUGGGUUAACCCGAGUUAACUAGAUUUGUUUUUUUAAUUAAAAAUUUUUUACAAUUGGAUUGAUUGAGACUUAAAUUUUACAAUUUUAAAAAAUUUAUUUAACUUGCAGCAAAUUACAGGUAAAUAGAAUAGUAUAAUUUAGAUCUUGAGACACUAACGUUAGUUGAACUACUUCAUGAUUGAUAUGCUUUAAAUGAGAAAUUAAAAUAUCAAAGGAUUUCUUUAUGAGACACUCCCAAGAUGUUGAAUUAUUAGAAGGUUAAUUUUAGUUCCUCGUCUUUUGAAGCACUGCUUACUUUUUUUUUCAGAUUGGUGAUAUCUUCUGAUUGUUGCUUGUUGUAGAUCUCCUCCUUCAUCCACCUUGAUGACUGCUACUCGUAUCAAAGGAUUUGCAAACUAACUUCAUCAAGUUUUAAAAAGAAAAGGCAAAGAAAAACCAGGGAAUCGACCAUAUCAAAAGUCGCGUACGAGAGAACCUUUGUUAUUAAUAUCACAUGCAAAGUUUUUAAAACAACAUUAUUGUACUCUUAAGGUGAAAAUGACAAGGAAUCGACCAUAUCAAAAGUCGCGUACGAGAGAACCUUCCUCACUGUUAUUUUCCUGCUUUCGUAAAGUUUUUUUUAGCUCUACAAUCUAUCUCGUCCAAUAUUACUGUGUAUCUUGGAAAAGCGGAAAGCACUCGUCCCCGUUUAUCUUUUAAAAACUCUAAUAAUGCUCCAAUACUUUCGGUGGAGUUUAGACUUUUUUUACAUAACCUUCAACUCUGCUACAGUUGCUGUGGGGGGUCAAGCAUUUCUAUCCAAGGGCAUCAAGGUUUUAAAAAGAAAAGGCAAAGAAAAACUGGCCCGACCACCAUUUCAAAAGAUAAGCUUACUUUCUUUUUCCCCCCGUCUCUCACUUGUCCCUGUUUUGUAUUUUAAAAAUUAUAAUUAAAUAUUAAAUGAAUAAAAAAAAACUAAAUGAGAAAGGGGUUAUCAAAGGAUAAGAUUAAAAGAUAGAGGAUCAAAAUAAAAGAAAAAUAAAAAAAAUAGGUGGCAAUUUCAAAAUUAACAUAAAAGUUCACUUUGUUUGAAUUAUAAAUUUUCAAUCCUUUUAGUUUUUGAAAAUUCAUUUUUUUAUUGAAUUUUUUUUUAAUAAAAACAAUUGAUUUGACUAUUUAUAAGUGAAUUUAAAGACCAAGCAAUCUAUAAAUUUUUUUUUCGAGGUUAGUCAAGUAGAACAGCUAUGCAUCUAAUAAUUAAGAAGAUAAGAAAGAAGAAAAUGAUAAUAGUAAAACUAGAGGAAGAUUAAUAUAUUGAUAUAUUAAAAUCAUAAAAAAUAUUAAUUUAAUAUAUUUUCGAACAAAACUCAUGCAAAUUCAAUUAAAAAAAUAUUUAAAAAGAACUAUAAGGAGAAGAUAAGGUUGAACAAGUGACGACAAUCUAUUUGCUUCUCGGAUUACCUUAUCUCCAUGUCACAGGUCCUUUCUCUUAAUUGUUUUCUAAAUUUGAAACUGUAAUUUGUAAUUGUAAUUCCCAGCAUAGCGCAUAUGCGAGGGUAAUCACAACAACUCAAGAGAAAAAUAACACCCUAUUAAAUCAAAUUAAAAAAAAAAACAAUUUGAAGCAUCGAAGGGUGAAAUAGAAAACAAUGAAAGGACUGAAAUGAAAUAAAACCUUGUUGGAUGCUAUCAAUAGCCUUGUUCUUUUAGCUUUCUGUAUAAUGUAAUGGGCAGGUCUUAUUACUUGAGUGUGUGAUGCAAGAGAUAGUCAUUGCAGAUUUUAGUUGCCUAAGUUUGAUCCUUUGUGGAGUUCCUUGCAAAUCUCUUUUUUUUUCUCCUUAUUCAUAAUUUUCAAAAAAAAAAAAACAUUUACCGAUCAUAGCUUUAGAUUAAUUAUAUGUGCUAUUGGAAGCGAAGAGGAGCUAGUAUCAUUCGUGCAGGUGUCAAAGUGAUCUUCAUCAGCCUUCCAUUCCUUUCUCUCUUCGCUAGGUGAGUACUUGUACAUAUUAUUCUUUUAUUUGUUUGUCAUUAUCUUUAUAUUAUGCUUUUUAUCUUAAUUAUGUCAUAAAUUUGCUUUUUUUGUGGGAAUUGCUGCUUUAAACUCAUAAGUGUAAACUAUUUUGUUUCAAUGUAUUCGUUAGAUCGAUGGUAUGCUAUCUUUCACUAAUGAAAUUCUUUUUAUUGGUUUUGAGAACGAAAAAAAAAGUAUUUCUAUCUUUGUUUUAUGGAAAAGCACAUAGAUCUAUGAACUAGAUAUAAAAAAAGAAAGGAUAGAUAUUCCCAUUACUUAAUAAUCGAGGAAAUGAGUGUUUAAAAUUAAGAUAAUAAAAUUGAAACCAAAUCAGCUUCAUUAGAUAAAGCUGUUGUGUAAAUAAGUGUGACUUAUACUCAUGGCAUAGUUAGAGAUAGUCAUUACAGAUUUUAGCUGGCUAAGAUUGAUCCUUUGUUGACUUUGUUCCAUUAAUUAUGUCAUCAAAUUGUAUUUUUUUUUAAGGGAAUUGCUGCUCUGACUCGUAAGUUAGAAUCCAUGUAAACUAUUUUGUUAGAAUACUUCUCCUCUUUUCAACAUAAAGUCGUUCUUUUAUAAAUAUAUUCAUUAGAUUGAUGAUAUGCUAUCUUUUCUUUUUAUUGGUUUUGAGAAAGAAAAAAUAUUUCCAUCUUUUAUAUGGAAAAGCACAAAGAUCUAAGAACUAUUGUGUAAAUAAUUGUUAGGGUAAGUGUGAAUUUUAGCACAUGGAAUGGAUAGAUAUUGAUGGGGGACAAAGGGAUUACAGGUCUGUUUUGGAUAUAAAUUAUACAAAAUCUGACCAUAGUUUCCAUUAUCAUCUCUGUUGAAUAUUCUUGGCACAAACAGCUCAUAGCUAAGAGAAGCUCGGAUUUCAAACCAGUUUCCAUCCCAUUUUAUAGACCGAAUUCUUACAAUAUCUUCUUCAUCGAUAAACCGAUUCUGGAGGACGACCACAAUAUGAUGGUGUAUCGUAGAGCACCACAUCAAAAGAUAAGAAAUUCCUCGAAGAUCACCAUGAUAUGAUGGUGUGUAUCUUGGACAAGCGGAAAGCACUUGUCCCCGUUUUGUCUUUUAAAAACUCUAAUAAUGCUCCAAGUUGAAUUUUAUUUUUAUUAGAUUAUCCUUGUUUUGUGUCUAGAGUAAUGGAUUUAGCUGAUUAACUAAGUUGAUUUUUUUUUAUUCUAAGUUGAUUUUUUUUUAUUUAAUUUUUUUUUCAAUCUCAUCAUUUAAUAUUGUGUUUGAUUAGAAAUUAGACUUCAUAAUUUAUUUUAAUUUUUUUUUAAUAAAAUUAGAAUUAUUUUCAAUUCCAACAUCUAAUUUUUUUAUACGUCAAAUUUGGUCACAUUUCUUUAUGAGACACUCCCAAGAUGUUGAAUUAUUAGAAGGUUAAUUUUAGUUCCUCGUCUUUUGAUGCACUGCUUACUUUCUGUUUUUUUUUUUUUUUUCAGAUUGGUGAUAUCUUCUGAUUGUUGCUUGUUGUAGAUCUCCUCCUUCAUCCACCUUGAUGACUGCUACUCGUAUCAAAGGAUUUGCAAACUAACUUCAUCAAGUUUUAAAAAGAAAAGGCAAAGAAAAACCAGGGAAUCGACCAUAUCAAAAGUCGCGUACGAGAGAACCUUUGUUAUUAAUAUCACAUGCAAAGUUCUUAAAACAACAUUAUUGUACUCUUAAGGUGAAAAUGACAGGGAAUUGACAGGUGAAAAUGACAGGGAAAAUGACAGGGAACCUUUGUUAUUUUCCUGUUUUCGUAAAGUUUUUUUUAGCUCAACAAUCUAUCUCGUCCAAUAUUACUGUGUAUCUUGGAAAAGCGGAAAGCACUCGUCCCCGUUUGUCUUUUAAAAACUCUAAUGCUCCAAUACUUUCGGUGGAGUUUAGACUUUUUUUACAUAAACUUUAUUUAGUUUGGAUUUCUAUCCAAGGUUCAAGGUUUUAAAAAGAAACGGCAAAGAAAAACUGGCCCGACCACCAUUUCAAAAGAUAAGCUUACUUUCUCUUCUUUUUUUUCCCAUCUCUCACUUGUCCCUGUUUUGUAUUUUAAAAACUCUAAUUAAAUAUUAAAUUAACAAAAAAAAAAAACUAAAUGAGAAGGGGUUUUUUUUUAUUAUACCCUUCCUCACAAAACACAACCUUGAACUAUACUAUAGUUGAUGUGGUGGAUCAAUUAUUUCUGACUAAGGCAUUACAUUAUCAAAAUAAAUUAAUAAACCGUGAGGUGAUUUUAUGAUGGCACCAUUCACUAUGAACCCUCUCACAUUUUAUCAUGAACGGGAGUAGUGAUUUUUUUUCUUUUAAUGAUCGAACAUUUUUUUCUUUUUAAUUUUAUCAUUUUGUGGUCAAAUUGAUGGCCAAUUAUUUUUGAUUUGUUAUGAAAGGGUAAGAUUAAAAGAUAAAGGACAAAAAAAUAAAAAAUAUAGGUGGCAGUUUUAAAAUUAACAUAAAAAGUUCACUUUGUUUGAAUUAUAAUUUUUCAAUCCUUUCAGUUUUUGAAAAUUUAUUUUUUUAUUGAGUUUUUUUUUAUGUUCAGUCAUUGAUUUAAGAGAUGAGAGAAAAUAUUAUUGGAUUACAGUUGAAGAAAAAAAAAGUCAUUAGUUGACAUCGAUCCUAGCCAUGUAAAAGGUCGAUUUUGGUGCAACGAGAUUCAUCCGAUGAUGAAAGUUUUACUUAGGUAUUCUUCAUGUUUUCUUAUCUGAAAGUUUUACUUAGGUGUUCUUUGUCUUUUCUAAAAGCAAAUAAGGUUACUUCAAGUUGCUUUUGGGUUUUUUUAAUGUUAUAAAUAGAUUUAUCAAAGUUUUUGUUGUGUUUUCUAGAUGUUAUGAGUUAAAAAUAAAAUGAAAAAAAAACUUCUGGGUAUAAAAUACCCUUAACCUAAUUCAAUCAUUAAAUUCUAAACAAGCAAAUGACACGUCAUUUUCCAAUAUAGGUGUAGCGACUCAUUUUCCAUGUUUAUUGUUUUAAUAAAAAGUGAAUAACAGGUCAUCCAUCCUUUAAUAUGAGAAAUUAAGAGAGUUUACCUUCUUCUUUUUUUUACAUAACCUUCAACUAUGCUACAGUUCAAGGAUUUCUAUACAAGGGGCAUCAAGUUUUAAAAAGAAAAGCUGAAGAAAGACUAGCCCGGCCACCAUAUCAAAAGAUGAGCUUACUUUCUCUUUUUUCCUUGUCUCUCACUUGCCCAUGUUUUCUCUUUUAAACACCCUAAUUAAUAUUAAAUUAGCAAGAAAAUACUAAAUAAAAAUGGGUUUUUAUUAUAACCCCUCCUCACAAAACACUAUUUAUUGGAUUAAUAUUUUUUUUAAUUAAUGCUUUUUUAUAAAAAUAAAUUUAUUUUUUAAUAUUAGAUUUGUUUUUUUAUUAAGUUAUCUCACUCUCAUUGCAAGAAUCACGGGUUUAGUGGGUUAACCCAAUUGACUUAAGUUUUUUUUUUCUUAAGUAACCUUUUCUUCUUAGUCUCAUCAUUUAAUACUGAGAAUAUUAAUAAUUACGCUUCAUGAUUGUUUUAUUUGCUUUCUAUUGGGUUAUUUUAGCCUCAUGAUACAUGAAUAAUUCAUAAUGAGUUAACCCAAGUUAACUCAGCUUGUUUUUUGUGUCUUUUUAAAUUGAGUUUUUUUACAAUUUUAUCAUUAAACAUUGGAUCAAUUGAGACUUAAGCUUUCGUAAUUUAUUUUAAUUUAUAUUUUACAAGGAUAUCUUAGUUUCAUGAUCAAGGUGUGAGUUUUGACAUUUUAAAUCGAUUUGUUUUAUUUUCUUUCUAAAACGUUAUCUCGGUCUCAUGAAUUGAGUCAUGGGUCCUUCAACAUUGGAUUUACAUUUUAUUAGUUUAUCUUUGUUUUGUGACUUGGGUAACAGGUUUGGCCGGUUAACCAAGUUGAUUUUUUUUUAUAUGGCUUUUUCCCCAUUCUCAUUAUUUAAUAUUCUAUUUGAUUUGAAAUUAGACUUCAUGAUUUGUUUUAGUUUUUUAAUAAAAUUAGAUUUUUUUUCAAUUUCAACCUCCUUUAGUUUUUUUAUAUGUCAAAUUCAGUCACCUUUCUUUUGAUUUCUAUUUAUUUUAUUUGAGAUAAUUUUUCAAAUUCAUCCCCUGGUUUUUUUCCUAUUAGGUUUGAUCCUUGUUUUUUUAUUGGUUUUUUUAAAAAAAAUUAAUUAUUUUUUUGCUUCAUCCUUCAACAUUAAAUUAGUUGGGAAUAGAGCUUUUUAAUUGAGUCAAGGUCUAGAAUUUCACGAGCUACGAGCUUGGAAGAUUAACAUAGGUUUAAGAAAUUUUCUCGAGUUUGCUUAGUUUUUCCCCCUUUUUAAACUUAUGAUUUUUUAGUUUAUCCUUCAGCAUUUAUUUAAUUAAAUAUUGGACUUUAUUUUUUUUUAUUUUCUUUCUAUUAGAUUUCUCAUUGAUUUUGAAAAUGAUACAAGGUAUCUUACUCUUCAACAUUAGACUAUUUGAUAAAUUUUAUAAUUUUAUUCAAUUUACUUUUGUUGUGCAAUAUCACAACAACAAGGUCAUUGAUUUUAUAUGCUAACCCGGUGGAAUCUUUGUUAUUAAUAUCAUAUGCAAAGUUUGUAAAACAAUAUUAUUGUCCUCGUGAAAAUGACAGGGAAUUGACAUCUUCUCACCAUUAUUUCCUUGCUUUCGUCAAGGCCGCUGAAAUAAGUUAAAGUUUUUUUAGCUCUAUAUUCUAUCUCGUGCUAAGAGGAACAGGAGAAUGUUUUAUGGCCUCAAUCAGAGAGGUAAUGUGUGGUGCUAAAAGACAAGGCAGAAUAAGGUGUCUAGUGGAAAUAGACUCUCCCUAGUCCCUAGUUAAUUUCUAUAUUUCCAUCAAACCUAUUUUAGGGUUUGAACAUGAACCAUCUGAAGAGGUUUUUUUUUCUUGUAUAUUAUUGCUUUAAUAAAGAUAACAAAAAAAAAGAAAAGGAUAAAAGUAAAACCAGAGAAAGAUUAAGAAUGCCAACAGAGUGUGGGAUUGAUAUUGUAAUAUAAUAUGUUUUUUAAAAUUAUUUUUUUGUUUAAAAAUAUUUUAAAAUAAUUUUUUAAAUUUUUUAUAUCAACAUGUUAAAAUCAUAAAAAAAAAUACUAAUUUAAUAUAAUUUUUUAGGUGUUGAGCUCCUGCGUUGAGCCUGAGUCAAGAAUUUAAUGGAUUGUGUGUUUGAGAGUUUAACCCUAGUUUAUAGGAUUCACUAAGGCUUCUUUGGUGUUUUGUUUCUGUUUUUAAGCUUUUUUCUUUUUUCAUAUUUUAACCUGGAACAUUCUUUUUUACUCCAUUUCUAUAGGAUUUAUCUUUCUUUUUAAAAUAACACGGAUUGCCUAAAAGGUUUUUUUUUCUUUUUGAUAUUUGUUAAAGUUUUUUGAUUUUAUCCUAUUUAAUUUAAUUUGAGGCAAUACAUGAGAGAAUUUUGUUUUUUCAAUUAAGUUUUUUGAAAAUUGAUAUUCUUUUUCUUUCUAUCUUUUUUUUAUAGAGUUAUCUUGAUAUUAUGUCUCAAGUCAUGGAUUCAAUUGAUUUAUCAAGUUUGACUCAGGUUUUUUAUCAUUUCUUUUUAUUUUUUUAUCUCGAGUUAAUGAUCAAAAUCUUAAAUUUUUUAAAAAAUUGCAUCGUCAAUAGUUUUUUUUUCUAAAUCUAUAUUUCUUUCUCUAAUUUCAUACUUCAACGUUUAGUUUAUUGGAGACCGGGUUUAAUAAUUUAUUGUGGUUUGUUUUAUAUAUGGUUAGCUCAGUCUCUUUACACUAUAAACUAAAAGAGGUGGUAAAUUUACUAUUUACCGCCUCACAAAACACUAUUCAUUUCAAUAAUUUUUAUUUUAUUUUGUUUUUUGUUUUCUAAAUCUAUAUUUCUUUCCCUAAUUUCAUAUUUCAACAUUUAGUUUAUUGGAAUCGGCUUAAUAAUUUAUCAUAGUUUGCUUAUAUAUGGUUAGCUAAGUCUAAUAACUCAUAUUAUGGGUUUGACGAGUUAGCUCAAUUUUUUUUUUGUCUUUUUAUAAUUGAUAUUUUUUUAAUUUUAUCAUUUAACAUUGGGUUGAUUAUGAAUUAAGCUUUAUGAUUUUAUUUUGGUUUGCUUUUUAUGAGGUCAUCCUGGUUUUAUGACUCAUGUCACGUGUUUUGCGAGUUAAGUCAUGUAGACUCGGGUCUUUUAUUGUAUAAUAUUUUUUUUUUUCAAUUUCAACCUUUAACUAUAAAUUUAUUGAAAAUUAAAAUUUAUAAUUUGUUUUGAUUUAUUUUCUAUAACAUUAUCACAAUUUCAUGAUCUUGAUUGCACGCUUGACAAGUUAAUCUAGGUUGAGACUCACACUAUUUUUUUGUUUACUUUCUAUAAAAAAUCAAAAUAGUUUAGAAAUAAAAGGGUGCAAAAUUGAUCACAUCCAUGUAGUUUAAUGGUAUAUUAAAAAACAAAAGUUAUCAUUUUGAAAGUUUUAUUAAAAAUUAAUUCAUGUUUUUAAUAAUCAUUAAAAUUAUAUUUUGAUCCAUAAAAUCAAUCAAUUUAAUUUAAGCUAACUUUUAGGUGAUAUAAUUAAAACCUUGAGCUAGAUAAAAAAAACUAAAUUACAAAAUUAACUUAUUAAACCAAUAAUAUAAUUAAAAGAUUCUUCAUGCUUUUAAUAUAUUUUUACAUUUUAAAAAAUUUACCCAAUGAAUAAGAGUUCAAUAAACUAGUAGAAGCUAGAUCAUGAGACACUAACGUCAGAUGAACCACUUCAUGAUUGAUAUGCUUUAAAUGAGGAAUUGAAAUAUCAAAGGAUUUCUGGGACAGGUUAAUUUAAUUUAGUUGUCCGUCUUUUGAUGCAGUGCUUAAUUUCUUUCUUUCUUUUUUUUUUCAGAUUGGUGAUGUCUUCUGGAUGUUGCUUUUUGUAGAUUUUCUCCUUCAUCCACCCUGAUGACUGCUUCUCGUAUCAAAGGAUUUGCAAACUAACUUCAUGUAAUUUUUUUUUAAAUUGAAAAUUCAGCUGAACCAACCAGAUCUAAUCUAAAUUUAAUCAAGUGAAAAUUUAAAAACUUUUUUUUUAAAAAAAAAUAUGCUUUAAUAAAAUUGAUUAAUCUAAAUUAAUGCAAUAAUCCAAUAACCCAUGAAUUUAAAGUAUGUUUAGAAAUAUGAUAAUUGUUGAUUUUUAAAGUGUUUUUUAUUUAGAGAUACAUUAAAAUAAUAUAUAUUUUUUAAAAAUAUUUUUUACAUCAACACAUUAAAAUGAUUAAAAACAUAUUAAAAAGUAUUAAUUAAAAAAAUAAUAAAUAAAUAAAUUUUUUUAAAAAAUACUUGUAAAAUAUCUAUGUAAUCAUUCAAAUUAUUUUAUUUUCUUAAAAGAAAAAAAUAAGUCGCGUACGAGAGAACCUUUGUUAUUAAUAUCACAUGCAAACUUCUUAAAACAUUAUUGUAAUCAUUAUUGACCAUUAUAUUAUUGUCCUCGUGAAAAUGACAUCUUCUCACCAUUAUUAGAAGAACAGGAGAGUGUUUUGAAAAGCGGGGACAGAGUGAGAAACAAGAACAUGAUUUUAAGGCACGUGGUCAGUUCCUUGUAUGGUCCUCAAUCAGGAAGGUACUGUGUGGUGCUAGAAGACAAGGCAGAAUAAGGUUAAAGGGACCUAAUUUACAAAUUUUACUAUUAAGGUGUAUAGUGAAAAUAAACUCCUCCCUAAUUAAUUUCUAUAUUUCCAUCAAAUCUAUUUUAGGGUUUGUUUUCUUGUAUAUCAUUGUUUUAAAUAAAAACAAUUGAUUUGACUAUUUAUAAGUGAAUUGAAAGACCAGCUAUGCAUCUAAUAAUUAAGAAGAUAAGAAAGAAGAAAAUGAUAAAAGUAAAACAAGAGGAAGAUUAAUGAUUGAUAUUGUAAUGUAAUGGAAUAUGUUUUUAAAAAUUAUUUUUAUUUAAAAAUAUAUUUGAAUAAUUUAUAAAAAAUUUUAUAUUAAUAUAUUGAAAUCAUAAAAAAUAUUAAUUUAAUAUAUUUUCAAAUAAAAUUCAUGCAAAUUUAAUUAAAAAAACAUUUUAAAAAAAAACUGUAAGGAGAAGAUAAGGUUGAACAAGUGACGACUAUCUAUUGGCUUCUCGGAUUACCUUAUCUCCAUGUCACAGGUCUUACUGUAUAAUGAUGCCAUCAAUACCCUUGUUCUUUUAGCUUUCUGUAUGAUGUAAUGGGCAGGUCUUAUUACUUGAGUAUGUGAUGCAAGAGAUAGUCAUUGCAGAUUUUUUUUUUAUUAUUAUUAAUAUGGGUGUCCGGGCUAGCUUGCGCGCACCACGACUAAUCUUAUGGCCCACUGAACAUCCUGCAAGUCCAAUGAGCAUGUAAAGCACCGCGGGGGUGACAGACAGACCGCACAUGAGGACCCAAUAGAGACAGAAAGGGAACAAACUCUCCAGCCCCAUUCCCACCGGGACUCGAACCGGAGUUCGAAGGAAGGAGAGCUGCCCCCUCAAUCACUGAGCCACACAACCUGUUGGUGUCAUUGCAGAUUUUAGUUGCCUAAGUUUGAUCCUUUUUUGAGUUCCUUGCAAGUCUCUCUUUUUUUUUUCUCCUUAUUCAUAAUUUUCAAAAAAAAAAAAAAACAUUGACCGAUCAUAGCGUUAGAUUAAUUUUAUGUGUUAUUGGAAGCCAUGAGGAGCUAGUAUCUUAUGUAGUUAUUUAAAAAUAUAAAAAUUAUUUAAAAAAAAUUAUUUAAAAAAAAUUAUUCAAAAAAAAAUUAUUUUAUGUAGUUAUUUUCGUCUUCACCAUCUAACACAUUUUAAUUCAUCACUCCUGUAUUUAUUCAUUUUGUUCUAAAAUACUAAUUAAAUACAACCUAAUUUUUAAAUUUGAGUUUAUAAAAAAGAUAUAAAUAUCACAACAUAGGAUAAAAGUUUUAAGAAUAAACACUUACAAUAAUAAUAAUAAUAAUAAUAAAACCUUUCCAAAUUUGUUCUAUAAAAGACAAAAUAAAAAUAACCUCAACAAAUCUAGUACUAAUUUUACAUUGAACCUUGAACUUUUCAAAUUGCAUUUUCCUUUUCAAUAUUUUGUUCCAAAUUGCAUUUUCCCUUUCAUUUUUUUGUACAUUGAUUGAUUGGUUGAUUGAAUGGUACAGUCCUCAUUUUCAUUUACUUUGGAAAAUACACAAAAAAUCACUUUCAAGUUUCAAGUUACUAAACGACGUGCAGCUCAAUCAAUGCCUUCAUUGCCUACAGCCUUUAAAAAAUCAACUUAUUAGCUAGUUUCGUCCUUGGCUCGUUUAGAACGACAUCCACCCGAAUGUUUGACAUGUGGCACUUGAAGAUCAGAAUAAGAGAAUGUUGGAUGUUCACUUAAUCUUUUAAUUCUAGAAAUUUAAAAAAAAAAUUAGCUACAAUGAUUGCUAGGUGAUAUCUAAGUAAGUUAAAAAGACUAAUGUCUAGUGUGCUAAGAUGAUAAGUAGUUGUUACUUGCAAAUUUGAUGGAUGUGGGUAUUCUUAAAUGCUUCUGAAAGAAUUCAUACAAAGAGAAAAAAUAUAAUGAUAUUUCAAAGAGAUAAACUCUAAAAAUAUAUAUACUAACAUUACUAAGAAUGAAGAUAUUAUAAACCUUGAACUUUGAAGAUUCAUUGAGUAUUUAUAACUUACAAGUCUUGUCUUUUGUGAAGAGGAGAAGUUAAAAAGUAAUUUUAUUCUUGUGGUAUUUUGAGUUGUAUUUUAUUCAAAAUAAAAUAUUGAGAAACUCAUGUGGGGUUUUAAAAAAAUUAAUUUGAUUAUUGUGGUAUUUUGAGUUGUAUUUCACUCAAAAUAAUAGUAUUGAUUCAAUAUAAAAUAUUAAGAGGCCUAUCAUAGUAGGCCGCCUAUGUGGGAUCUUGAAAAACAUAAUUUCAUUCCUAUGAUAUUUUAAAUUAUAUUUUACUCAAAAUAAUAUAUAUUGAAUCAAUAUAAAAUAUUUAAAAACCUGCGUGCAGUCUUGAAAAAAUUUUGAAUGGAGAGGUAGGCUUAGACGAGUUACUUGAGUUUGUUAUGAGUGAAAAAUAGAUCCAUUAAUGCUACAUAUCCACAUAUAUUACCUAAACCCACACACAUUGGAUUCAAAAAAUGCACUAAAGCCAACAAAGAUGCUGGGAUGUAUGCCGAAUAAGGUAUAUGGGUCAAGGCAGCGUCUGGAUUCAAGGGCAGUUAAGCUUUGGGAGGUUUUUUUAUCCCAUUAAAUUUUGGUCUAUAUUGACUUGGUUUCUUUGGGUGGUGACUAGUUAUUUAUGGUGAAGUGAUAAUCACUUCUUUUAUUCUAGUGGAAUUCUUGAUGUUUAGGUUGGGAAUAAAUUUAGCUCCUCUUGUUUACCUAAAAAUUGAGGGAAAGUAGCUGAAAUAUCUUCUUUUAAAUUCUUUAACUUUGCUUUCAUAUUGAAUUUAUGAAAAUGUUAUCUUUUUUAUAUUGUUAAAAUGAUGUCAAGUCUUAAAGACUGUUAGCCAUGUGUUCCUAAUUAACUUUUGAUUUUUUGUAUUAUACCUCAUACAUAAUUGCUGGAAUAUAAAAUAAUUUAUUUUUUAUUCAUGUUUGCUUUCUAUCUAUUGUACAUGCAAAAGUUUAUCUUAUAUUACUUUUAACUAAACAUAUUUUUUAAAAAAAUCCAACUAAAAGUGUUUUUGUUAAAUCUAUUAUUUUAAAUCGCAACUAUAAAAGCUAUCAUUAUUGUAUGUUUGGUAACGUAGUGUAGAUCAUGCUUUUAUAAAAAUGAUUUUCAAUUGAAAAUACAUUAAAAUAAUUUUUUUCAAUUAAAAAAAACACUUCAAAAUCAUUAAAAAUACUUAAAAAAUUAAAUUAACAACAUUAAUUUAAUAUUUUUUAAAAAAUCAAAUACAAUUUUAAAAGUAAUUAAUUUAAAUUAAAAAAUUAAAUUAACGAGCUUUUCCUUUAUUUGAAAGGGAAGGGCUAAACGAUAUUUUUGCAUUUUCUUUGCACAAUGUGAUUAUUUAAUUACCCUUGGAAAACAAAGAAAAUCACUUGGAUCUAGGGGCUUAUUAGUCUUUGACUUGAUUUUUCAACAAGUAUGUUACUUCAUUGUCCUUGAAAAUUUAAAAUAAUUAUCUAACUCUGAGGCUCUUUUAUCAUUUAGAUGUGGUCAUUUAGUAGUUAUUGGGUGUUAUUGGAGACAAUAAGAUAAUUUGAAAAAUAAGAAAAUUAAAUUAAAAAAAAUAGAAUCAAGUGAACAAUGUUUGCCACCUCUGAACGAUGUGUGCGGCGUCAUCCAAUACCCAAAACGGUGAUUCCAGGGAGGCUUCUGAAGGAUCUCAAUGUCCCCCUACAAAUCAACGACACGUGUAGCACUAUAGCGGUUGGUGUGACAUUUGUGGCUUUUUUUUUUUUUUUCUUUUCCCCUCUCUCCUACUCGAUUUUCGUGUUGGGAUUAAAAAAUCAUAUCAGUCCCUAAAGUUUAUCGUACUUAUGAUUUCAUCCAUAUUAUCUUUAUUAUAAUUUUUUAAAUUUAGAAUACUUUAUGAAAUUAUGUGAAAUCAUGUGGUUUUUUCAAUUUCAUCAUUGUUCUCUUUGUUGCCUUUUUUUUUUUUUUAGAAUGGCCUACUAAAUUAAGAAUUGUUUUUAAUUUUAGAUGGUUUUCACAAUUUUUUUUUUACCUUGCAAGAUUUUUUUAUUAUGUCAUCCUCCAACAUUUAAAUAGUCAGGUCUUUAGCUUUUUAGUUGAGUCCAGGUCUAAAAUUUAACGGUUUGUUGGUUUAAGAAAUUGACCCCGGUUUCUUUGAUUUUUUUUUCCAUCCUCCAAUAUUUUGUUAUUUUUUAAUUCACUUUAUAUGGUAUUUUUUAGUCUUUUUUAAAAUAACGCAGUUGCCUUGGUUUUUUUUUUUUUUUUUUGUCUUUGUUGAAUUUAGUUUUUAUGAAGGAAUUUUAUUUUUAAAUUGAAUUAAAUUGAUUGAUUUCAUCUUUCAACAUUUAUUUUUUUAGGUGUUAAGCUGCUACGUUGAGCCUGAGUCAAGAAUGUAAUGGAUUGCGGGUUCGAGAGUUUAACCCGAGUUUAUAGGGUUCACUCAAGCUUCUUUAGUGUUUUGUUUCUUUUUUAAGCUCUUUUCUUUUUUCAUAUUUCAACCUUUAACAUUCUUUUUAUGUUUUUUUUUUAAUUGGUAUCUCCCUUAAAUAUUAAACAAAUAUAACCUAAAUAACCUAAUUUUUUUCAUUUAAUUUCUUUCUCUUAAAGUAUUUGAAUAUUACAAGGAUAAAAGUUAAAAAAACAAAAGGCACCCACACACCUACAUGAUAAAUCGGCUAUAAAUUACAAAAUCAAAAUAACCUCAGCCAACAUUGAUUACUACAAAUUAAUUUUAAAAUUGGAUUUGUUUGACUUAUAUCUAAAAAAUAUUAAUCUGAAUUUCUUCCUAUAAAAAAUAUGUGAGCAGAGUAUUUCAUGAAACCUAAUAAAAAUAAGAGUCUUCUUCAAUAUAUGUUUGUUUUUUUAUCAUCAUUUGUAAAUCUUGAUAGAAAAAAUGAGGAAUGUAUUUCUCAUGCCUCAUCACUCCUAUAUUUGUUUAUUAUAUCCUAAAAUACUAACUAUGCACAACCUAAUUUUUAAAUCUGAAUUUUUUAAAAGCAUUUAAUUAUCAUAACAUGUGAAUAAAAAUUUGUGCUCCAAAUGACAAAAUAAAAAUAACCUCAACAAACAUGAUUAGUACUAAUUAAUUUUUACAUUAAUACACAAGCAAGUUGUCAACUGUUGGAGGGAAGAACAUGUGCUGUCAAAUUUAUGGAAGGUUUAUUUAAUGAAACUCUUGGUUAAUACCAGUCAAUAAAAAGACAAAAAGAAGGGAGAGAGAGCGCUUAAAAGUAGAAACACCAUGAGCUUAAAUUAACCAACGAGUUGACUGGUAUAUCUGAGAGGUUUUCAAGGAAGCCAACAAGUGGAUUGGCUCAGCAAAUACCAUGAAAGGUUACUGGUAUUUCUUGGAGGUUUUCAAGGAAAGCAAGAAGAGGAUUGGCCCUCACACAGAUCAUUAUAAUUGUAUAUUUGUGCUAAUUGUCAGAAGGUCCGCUCUUGACAGAAAAAAUAAAAAAAGGAAUACAGAAACCAUCGCCAGUGUGAACAGCUUCCUGUUGUUCAUAUUUUAGGAAUUUCCCCUAAGAAUCCUCGUGUACUUAUCCUGAGUUAUUUAAAUGUUUGUCUCUAGCUACUGGGGAGCACCGCCAUGAAAAGUUGUGUGAGUGCCUUUGCCAAGAAUCCGCCAUGAUUUCUAACAUAUAAUCAUCCGACUCAGAUAAAAUAUGCCAAGAAUCAGUCCCACUCUCCACUACCAAAUCAUUCUUUAUUGAUGAUGCUUGGACAGUACUGCGGAAGAAGAUCACUUUCUAGAAUCUAAAUUAUAUUUCUAUCGCAAAACCAUAUAUCAAAUCGAUGUAUGGACAAGUGAAUUCGCAUCAGAAUCCUAUGCAACCUUUCAAACGUGCAGCUAACUCUUUAGAAAUAUUAUAUUGAUAAUUGGCAUAUUCAAAAGUGUACGAGGAUCGAUGACCAAUCUUCAGCUUAUUUUGAAAUUCAACAGUUUUGGAAAACAAUAUAGCCCUGAAGUCCAGCUUUAGGUGCAUGUUUUCUGGCUUUUGCACAUAUUUAAAACAAUCGCAUUAUCAGUAUGAACAAAAAGUCGCAUUAUCUUCUCUCUUUUCUCCAAAUAUUUGACACACGGCAAAAAUAAAACUAGUUGUUAAUCUAUAGCAUACCUAAAACCAUCAUCUUUGCGUAGAAGUACAUCAGUCAUGCUAAAACGUCCUGAUACUUUAUCAAAUAGAUAAUAAAUUUAUAUUUUACCAAGUAUAAGAUAUCAGUAAGCCACCUUUUAUUCAUAAAAAAAAGUCUACCAGCCACCUUAGUGUUGGUAAAUGCGAAUCGAGAGUCAACAUUCAACACUACAAAGUACAAACUACUCAAUUUAAUGGAAAGAAAAAACAAAUAAAAAGUAGACAUAUAAGAUUUAAUGUGGGUGAUUAAGCGAAAUUCUAUCUCCUCGGCAGACCUAGAGUAACCAUUCUUUACUUGAGAGGAAAUAUAAGAAUAUCAACGUGAUUUUUAUACUUGAAUAUAAAUUCCAAAACUUCUUUGGUAAACCUACUCACUCACUCAAAAGAAAAAAAAUUGAUGAACAAGAAAGAAAACAGCUUGGUGACUAUUCUCAUAGGCAAAGCCAUGAUGAUUCGUAGAUAAGGGGGAUACAAAUAAAAAUACUAUCCCAUCACACAAAUUUAUGUAUAACUUUUUUAUACAUUUCUAAGAAUUAUCUUUAUAAUUAAUUGCUUAUUAUUAUUUUUAUUUAAAAUAGUUUUAAAAAUAAAAGAAAAUUGAAACUUAAGAAACAUGUUUAAUAAAUAAUAAUAAAAAAAAGGUUAACGGAUGCAUGUUAUGUGAUUCAAAGAGUUAUUAUUCUGUCUUAUAUAACAAUGCUAUAACAAAAGGCUGAUAUUAAAUAUAUUGCCAUCGAUAUAAGAUUUACCAGGCUUGAAUCUAAUGAGAUUCUCGUUAUAAAAUACAUGUUCUUAUUCAUAGAGUUUAUAAAGGUUAUUACCCUUUCUUAUAUUGUUGAAUUGAUGUCAAAGUCUUAAAGACUGUUAGCCAUGUGUUACUAAUUAACUUCUGAUUUUUUGCAUUGUACGUCGUACAUAAUUGCUGGAAGAUAAAAUGCUUGAGACGAGUUUCUAGAGUAGAUAGACUAGAGAAGGGGAAGCAGGAGAGCCAGCCUGAAAUUUGAUUAAAAUGAAAUAAAAAGUAAGCGCGUAUGUCGCUGGGUUACUUUUUAUUCGUUUUUUUAUUUAUUUUACAUGCAAAAGUUAUCUUAGAAUACUUUUAACCAAAUAUAUUUAAAAACAAAAAAAAAAACCACAACUAAAAAUGUUUUUGUUAAGUUUAUUUUUUCAAAUCACAACUAUAAAAGCUAUUAUUAUUGUAUAUUUGGUAAUGUGGUGUAGAAUGAUUUAACAAAAAUAUUUUUAAAUUAAAAAUGUAUUAAAAUAAUUUUUUUCAAUUAAAAAAAACACUUCAAAAUCAUUAAAAAAAUACUUAAAAAUUAAUUAACAGCAUUAAUUUAAUAUUUUUUAAAAUUAAAUACAGUUUCAAAAGUUAUUAAUUUAAAUCAAAAAUUAAAUUAACAAGUUUUUCUUUUAUAUUAUACUAUAUACUAAAAGAUAGCAGCCUUUCACUGUGGAUUCGUAUAGUGAAAGGCUAAAGGCUGAUUUUACCCUUUAAUGAGCAAAGUAGCAUGCCUCGAAUUUAGAGAUAUAAUGGUUUUUUUCAUGGGACAUUAAUCUUUGACUUGAAUUUUCAACAAGUAUGUUACUUCAUUGCCCCUGAAAAUUUAAAACAAUUAUCUUUGACUCUAAUGCUUUUUUGUCAUUUAGAUGUGGUCAUUUAGUAAUUAUUGGGUGUCAUUGGAGAUAAUAAGAUAAUUUGGUAAAUUAAAAAAUUAAUUUUAAAAAAAAACAGAAUUAUGUUAACAAUGUUUGCCACCUCCGAACGGUGUGUGCAUCGUCAUUCAAUAACCAAAAUGGUGAUUCCAGGGAGGCUUCCGAAGAAUCUCAACGUCCCACCCCCCAUGAAUCAAUGACGCAUGUAGCACUAUAGUGGUUGGCGUGACACGUGUGACCUUUUGUUUUAUUCCCCUCUCUCCUACUCGAUUUUCGUGUUGGGAUAAAAAAUCAAAUUAGUCCCUAAAGUUUAUUGUACUUAUGAUUUCAUCCCUAUUCUCUUUAUUAUAAUUUUUUAAAUUUAGAAUACUUUAUGAAAUUAUAUGAAAUUAUGUGUUUUUUCAAUUUCAUCCUUAUUCUCUUUGUUGCAUUGUUUUUUAUUUAGAAUAGUCUACUAAAUUAAGAAUUGUUUUCAAUUUCAGAUGGUUUUUACAAUUGUUUUUUUUUCAAUGUCAUUAUUUUUUAGUUUUUUUUCUUGUUAAAUCUAAUCUUUUUUUAUUAUUUUAUUUUUUUGACCUUGCAAGAUUUUUUUGGAUUGAUUUUUACUAUUAUGUCAUCUUCCAACAUUUAAUUAGUCGGGUCUUUAGCUUUUUAGUUGAGUCCGGGUCUAAAAUUAAACGGUUUAUUGGUUUAAGAGAUUGACCCCAGUUUCUUUGUUUUUUUUUUCCUUUUUUUUCCAUCCUCCAGCAUUUUGUUAUUUUUUAAUUCACUUUAUAUGGUAUUUUUUAGUCUUUUUAAAAAUAACAUAGAUUGCCUUGUUUUUUUUUUUUUUUUUGUCUUUGUUGAAUUUAGUUUUUAUGAAGGAAUUUUAUUUUUAAAUUGAAUUAAAUUGAUUGAUUUUAUCUUCCAACAUUUAAUUUUUUAGAUUUUGAGCUCCUGCGUUGAGCUUGGGUCAAGAAUUUAAUGGAUUGCGGGUUUGAGACUUUAACCCGAGUUUAUAGGGUUCACUCGGGCUUCUUUGGUGUUUUGUUUCUUUUUUUAAUCUCUUUUCUUUUUUCAUAUUUCAACCUAUAACAUUCUUUUUUUACUCUCUUUUUAAAGGAUUUAUCUUUCUUUUUUAAAUAACAAGGGUUGCCUCAAAGUUUUUUCUUUCAAUCUUUGUUAAAUUUUGCUUCUUUAAAAGGAUUUUUUAAAUUAAUUUAAUUUUUUUAAUUUCAUCCUCUUGUAUUUAAAUUGAGGCAAUACAUGAGAGAAUUUUGUUUUUUUAAUUAAGUUUUUUGAAAAUUAUUAUAUUUUUUUUUCACCUUUUGUUUUCUAUAGAGUUAUCCUGAUAUUAUAUCUCAAGUCAUCGAUUCAAUAGAUUUACCAAGUUUGACUUAGGUUUUUUUUUCAUUUUUUUUUAUCUCAAGUCAAUGAUCAAAAUCUUAAUUUUUUUUAAAAAAUGCAUCGUCAAUAGUGUUUUUUUUACAUGUUUUUUUUUUCUAAAUCUAUAUUUCUUUCUCUAUUUUCAUACUUCAACAUUUAGUUUAUUAGAGACUGGGUUUAAUAAUUUAUUAUGGUUUGCUUUAUAUAUGGUUAGUUCAGUUUCUUUACACUAUAAACUAAAUGAGGUGGUGAAUUCACUAUUCAUUCCAAUAAUGUUUUUUUUUUUUUAAUUUUUUUUGUUUUUUAAAUCUAUAUAUUAUUUCUCUAAUUUCAUAUUUCAACAUUUAGUUUAUUGGAGACUAGGCUUAAUAAUUUAUCAUAGUUUGCUUUAUAUAUUGUUAGCUAAGUCUAAUAACUCGUAUUACGGGUUUUACGAGUUAGCUCAAUUUUUUUUUUAAUAUUUUUAUAAUUGGUAUUUUUUUCAAUUUUAUCAUUCAAUACUGGGUUGAUUAUGAAUUAAGCUUCAUGAUUUAUUUUGUUUUGUUUUUUAUGAGAUUAUCCUGAUUUUAUGACUCAGGUCACGUGUUUUGCGAAUUAAGUCGUGAAGACUCAAGUCUUUUAUUAUAUAAUAUUUUUAGAUUGAUUUUUUUUUCAAUUUCAACCUUUAACAAUAAAUUUAUUGAAAAUUAAGAUUUAUAAUUUUUUUUGAUUUAUUUUUUAUAAAGUUAUCACAAUCUUAUGACCUUAGUUGCGGGUUUGGCAAAUUAAUCUACGUUGAGACUCACGCUAUUUUUUUUGUUUACUUUCUAUGAAAAGUUAAAAUAGUUUAGUAAUAAAAUUAAUAUAAAAAAUAAAUUGGGUGCAAAAUUGAUAACACCCAUGUAGUUUAAUGGUGUGUGUGUGUAUAUAUAUAUAUAUAUUUUUUUUUUUAUAAAAAAAGCUAUCAUUUUGAAAGUUUUAUUAAAAAGUCAUAUUUUUACCAAUCAUUAAGAUUGUGUUUUGAUCCAUAAAAUCAAUUAAUUUAAUUUAAGCUAACUUUUACAUGAUUUAAUUUAAAACUUAAGUUAGAUAAAAAAAAACUAAAUUAUAUAAUUAACUUAUUAAAUCAAUAAUAUAAUUAAAAGAUUCUUCAUGCUUUUAAUAUUUUUUUACAUUUAAAAAAAAUUAUCCAAUGAAUAAUAGUUCAAUAAACUAGCUGAACUACUUCAUGAACGAUAUGUUUUAAAUUAGCAAUUAAAAUAUCAAAGGAUUUAUGGGACACUCCCAAUGAUAUUAAUUUGUAAAAUACUUAAUUUUUUAGGUAAUUGUAACCUAAAAAAAAUCAAAAUAAUUUAUUAAUAAAAUUAAUAUAAAAAAUAAAUUGGGUGCUAAAUUGAUAAUAGUACCCAUGUAGUUUAAUGGUAUUUUUUUUUAAAAGCUAUCAUUUUAAAAGUUUUAUUAAAAAUUAAGUCAUGUUUUUACCGAUUACUAAAAUUAUAUUUUAAUUCAUAAAAUCAAUCAAUUUAAUUUAAGCUAAUUUUUACAUGAUUUAAUUAGAAAGUUAGAUAAAAAAACUAAAUUGCAUGAUUUUAUAAUUAACUUAUUAAACCAGAUUUAAUAAUAUAAUUAAGAGAUUCUUCAACAUUUACAUUAUUUAAUUAGAAAGGUAAAUAGAAACUAGAUCAUAAGACACUAACGUCAGAUGAACUACUUAAUGAUCGAUAUGCUUUAAAUGAGCAAUUAAAAUAUCAAAGGAUUUCUAGGGUACUCCAAGAUGUUUAAUUAUUAGAGGGUUAAUUUUAGUUCCCUGAUAUCUUCUGAUUGUUGCUGGUUGUAGAUUUCCUACUUCUUCCACCUUGAUGACUGCUACUCAUAUCAAAGGAUUUGCAAACUACUUCAUGUUUUCUUCUUCUUUUUUUUUUUGAAAAUUCAGUUGAACCAACUAGAUCUGAUCUAGAUUUAAUCCACUUAAAAUUAAAAAAAAUUAAAAGAAAAAAAAUGUUUCUUUAAUAAAAUUAAUUAAUCUAAAUUGAGGUAAUAAUCCAAUAACCCAUGAAUUCAAAAUAUGUUUAGGAGUGUGAUACUGGUUGAUUUUUAAAAUGUUUUUUGUUUGGAAAUAUAUCAUAAUAAUAUAUAUUUUUUAAAAAAUAAUUUUUGACAUCAACACAUCAAAAUAAUAAAAAACAUAUUAAAAAUUAUUAAUUUAAAACAAAUAAAUAAAUAAAUAAAAUUUAAUUUUUUAAAAAAAUACUUGUGAAAUAUCUAAGUAAUCAUUCAAAUUAUUUUAUUUUUUAAAAUGAAAAAAAAAAGUCGCGCACACGAGAGAACCUUUGUUAUUAAUAUCACAUGCAAACUUCUUAAAACAUUAUUGUAAUCAUUAUUGACCAUUAUAUUAUUGUCCUCGUGAAAAUGACAGGGAAUUGACAUCUUCUCACUUGUGCAUAUUAUUCUUAAUUUUAUUUGUUUGUCAUUAUCUUUAUAUUAUGCGUUUUAUCAUAAUUAUGUCAUAAAUUUGCAUUUUUGGGGUAAUUGCUGCUUUAAACUCGUAAGUGUAAACUAUUUUAUUUCAAUGUAUUCGUUACAUCGAUGGUAUGCUAUCUUUCACUAAUGAAAUUCUUUUUAUUGGUUUUGAGAAGGGAAAAAAAAAGUAUUUCUCUCUUUGUUUUAUGGAAAAAGCACAGAAAUCUAUGAACUAUAUAAAAAAAUAGACAUUCCCGUUACAUAAUAAUCGAGGAAAUGAGUGUGUAAAAUUAAGGUAAUAAAAUUGAAACCAAAUCAGCUUCAUUAGAUAAAGUUAUUGUGUAAAUCAGUGCGACUUUUAUCCAAAUUAAAUAAGUGUUCGAAUAUGUGAUAAAGUAAUUUUGAAUGUUUAAUUUUUUAUUUUGUACAAUGAAGUAUUUAAGUAAAUGUAUAUUAAUUCAAUAUUAAUGUGACCAUUAAAUAGUGACAAGAGCGAUAACACUCGAGAUAAUAUUUAAAGUUAAUAUCAUUAAUCGAUUGAUUGAAAUAAGAGAUAAAAUCAUAAAAAAAUUAAAAUUUUAGGGUUAAUUAGGAGUUAAAUUGAAAAAUUUUACAACUAAAAAUCAUUUUGUAAAGGACUUCGAAUUAUAGGAGUUUAAUUGACACAUAAUGGGGGUGAAAUUGAAUGAAGAAGAAGCAGAGGUCCCAUUAAUGGCAGCCAUUCAAUGCAUUUUGUUUUCUUCAGUUAAAACCAUGCCUUUAUCAUUGGGGAGCCAGUGGGAGAAUUACGUUUCACUCUCAUUACAUGGGCGUGCUGCGAACGCGAGAUUCUUUAUAAUAUUUUAAAAGAUCUACACGCGUGAAACACACGAUUUAGCUAAUUGUUCCUGAGAGUGUCAGACUUGAUGUAGUUCUGACCGGUGAAUGAUUUACGCAUGUGUUUUUUUAUGUUUUUUUUAAAAAUUAAAUGUUUGUUUAUUUUUUAUUUUAAAUUAUUUUUUUAUAUAUUUUUAGAUCUGAUAUCAAAAAUAAUUUUUUAAAAAUAAAAAAAAUAUUAUUUUAAUAUAUUUCCAAGUAAAAAAUAAUCACAAUCACAUUCCUAAAUACCCCUUAAUCAUCAUGUUAAUCUUUUACAUUGACCUUGAGAUCAUUUUUUACAAAAAAAAAUGAGUUUUUUUUUAAAAUUAAAUUAUUUUUUUAAUUUUUGAUAAUAUCAUAAAAAAAUAAACUAAAAAAUAAUUGUAACCUUUUUUCAUAUUAUUUUAGUUUGUUUUAUUUCUUUACACCCCUUCAUGGUGUUUUGUGUAUAUAUAUAUAAGUUUAUUUGAUUGAUAAAACAUUUUUGUUUGUUGUUUGAUGAAAUAUCGUUUGAUUUUUUUCUUAUUUUUUUAACAUUUGAGGGCAUUUUUUUGUUGUUGCAAACCUCCACUAUGUAAACUUUUUUAUUCUUAAAAAGUCAUUCAUUUGUUUUUUUUUUUAAUAUCAAACUAGCUUUUACCUAGGUCGCGUCAGAAGACUAGUUCAAUUUUGAAACCUAAUCCAUGUAAAAGCUUGAUUUGGGAGGUCUCUUAACUUCUAAAAAAAAAAGGUUACUUGAAAAUAAUGAAAGAGAGAUAAAGUUGGUAAAAAAGCAUUUUUCAUAAACGAAACUCAUUGGUUUUUGUUAUUAACGAGUUUUAUUAUACGAGAAAAGUUUGAUGGUAGAUAUUUCUAUUAAAUUAGCUCUAUUUUUAAAUAAUGAUUGAUUUUUUAUAUGAUUUUAGUUGCAUGAUAUUUCAAAGAAAUUAGUUUGAUUUGUUCUAAACAUGAUUAAAACAAAAAGAACAAUCAAUGUAAAAUAUCUGAAUGUUUAUCUAUAUUUUAUUUCUAUUAUAAAGAUUAACUUCAUGCUUUAAUAUUAAAUUAGUGAUAACAACUCCUUUUGAUUUAUUAGUUCAUUUAUAUUUUUAAUUUGUUUUAUAAAAUACAAAUAGCAUCUUUUUAUAUAUCAGUGAAAAAAAUAUUAAGUAUUGGAUUUUAUAAUUUAUUUUAAUGUGUUUUUUAUAAAAUUAUUGUGAUUUGAAACAAAUAUUUCGGUAAUAGAAUGAGGCUAGAUUUUCUUAACGUUAAUUUUUAAAAUAUUUUAGCGGUAAUGAAUUGGUGAUAUCUUCUGAUUGUUGCUAGUUGUAGAUUUCCCUCCUUCUAGCACCUUGACAACAGCUUCUAAUAUCAAAGGAUAUGUAAACUAACUUCAUAAUUUGUUUUUUGUUAUUUUAAGUUGAAAUUCAGCUAACUAACCAUCCAUAUUUGACAAAGUUAAAAUUAAAAAUAAAAAUAAAAACAAUUAUGUUACUUUAUAAAAUUAAUUAAUUUAAAUUGAUAUAAUAAUUCAGAAAUGUGAUAGCAGUUGGUGUUUAAAAUGUUUUUUUUAAUAUAAUAAAAUAAUAUAUAUUUUUUAAAAAUUAUUUUUGAUACUAGAAAAUCAAAAUAAUUAAAAAAUAUAUAAAAAAUAUUAAUUUAAAAUAAAUAAAUAAAUAUAUAUUUUAAAAAAAUACUUGUGAAAUAUCUAAGUAAUCAUUCAAAUUAUUUGAUUUUCUUAAAUGAAAAAAAAGACGCGUACGAGAGAACCUUUAUUAUUAUUAUUAAUAUCACAUGCAAAGUUUUUUAAAUAUUAUUAUUUUCUUGAAAAUAACAGGGAAUUGACUAUUAUUUUCCUCGUGAAAAUCACCAUUACUAUCUUUGUUAUUAACAUCACAUGCAAAGUUUUUAAAACAACAUUAUUGUCCUCGUUAAUCGACCUCUUCUCACCAUUAUUUUCUUUCUUUCGUCAGGACCGCUGAAAUAAGAACAUGGAGGAAAUGUGUGGUGCUAAAAGACAAGGCAGAAUAAGGUUAAAGGAACCUAAUUUACAAAUUUUACUCUGAAGGUGUACAGUGGAAAUAAAUUCUCCCUGGUUAAUUUCUAUAUUUUACAUCGGUAUAUUAAAAUCUAAAAAAAACACUAAUUUGAUAUAUUUUGGAACAAAACCCGUCCCAAUCCAGUUAAAAAACAAAAAAAUAAUGGUUUUUUUUUUCUUGUAUAUUAUUAUUUUAAUACCAAGUUUAGUCCAUGGUCAGGACAAGUACAACACCUAUGCCAUGUUCGAGAGGUGAAUCUAAUAAUUAAGGAGAUAAUAAAAGAAGAAGAUUGAGAAUCCAAGAGUAUAUAUAAUUAAUAUUGUGAUGUAAGAUAUUUUUUAAAAUUAUUAAUUUUUUAAAUAUUAAAAUAAUCUUUUUAAUAUUUUACAUCGGUAUAUUAGAAUAUGAAAAAAAACACUAAUUUGAUAUAUUUUGAAACAAAACUCAUCCCAACGGUGCCAACUGGAAAUUAACUAGGGAGAGUCUAUUUCAAUAAAUAAAAAAACAAAGGAUAGCAAUUAGAUUAAUUAUAUGUGCUAUUGGAAGAGAUGAGGAGCUAGUAUCAUUCGUGCAGGUUUCAAAGUGAUCAUCAUCAGCCUUCCAUUCCUUUUUCUCUUUGCUAGGUGAGCACUUGUGCAUAUUAUUCUUAAUUGUAUUUGUUUGUCAUUAUCUUUAUAUUAUGCUUUUUAUCUUAAUUAUUUCAUAAAAUUGCAUUUUUAUGGGAAUUGCUGCUUUAAACUCGUAAGUGUAAACUAUUUUGUUUCAAUGUAUUCGUUAGAUCGGUGGUAUGCUAUCUUUCACUAAUGAAAUUCUGUUUGUUGGUUUUGAGAAGGAAAAAAAAAGUAUUUCUAUCUUUGUUUUAUGGAAAAAGCACAUAGAUCUAUGAACUAUAUAUAUCGAGGAAAUUAGUUUUUAAAAUUAAGAUAAUAAAAUUGAAACCAAAUCAGCUUCAUUAGAUAAAGCUGUUGUGUAAAUACGCGUAUGAUGCAGAGAUAGUCAUUACAGAUUUUAGUUGGCUAAGAUUGAUCCUUUGUUGAGGUCGUUCCAUUAAUUAUACUUCCUUGCAAGUCUUUUUUGUCUCCUUAUUCAUAACUUUUUAUUUUAAAAAAAAAUUUGACCGAUCAUAGCUUUAGAUUGAUUAGAUGUGUUGUUGGAAGCGAUGAGCAGCUCGUAUCAUUCGUGCAGGUAUCAACCUUCCAUACAGAGACUGGUGGAAAAUGGCUAUCGAAAGUGUUGGUGGGUCCGUUGUAUCUAAGAUAGCAGAGCUCUUGGUGGAACCAGCAAUCAAGCAGUUCCGUUACAUGUUCUGUUUCAACAAUUUUGUUCAAGAAUUCGAUGAACAAAUGAUGAACCUGGCUUGGGCAUUUUAUCGUCUGCAAGAUGCUGUCAACGUUGCUGAAAGGAAUGCUGAAGAAAUUGAGAUUGAUGUCAACACAUGGCUGGAAAAUGCAAAAAACGAAAUUGAAGGUGUGAAUCGUUUGCAAAAUGAAAAAGGAAAAAUCAUCAAAUGCUUUACUUGGUGUCCAAAUUGGAUGCGACAAUUCAAGUUAAGCAAGGCACUGGCAAAGAAGACGGAGACUUUGAGAAAACUUGAAGAAAAUAGCAGAAAGUUUCCAAAAGUGUCCCACAAAGCACCUCUUCAAGAGAUAAAAUUUCUUCCAUCAAAGGAAUUCACACUCUCAGGAUCGUCAAAAGAAGCUUUCAAACAGAUUAUGAAAGCUCUCAAAGAUGACAAGGUCAAUAUGAUCGGACUGUACGGCAUGGGAGGGGUGGGUAAAACCACCCUGGUGAAAGAAGUAGGCAGGAGAGCCAAAGAGUUGCACCUUUUUGAUGAAGUUUUGAUAGCUACGGUGUCCCAGAAUCCAAAUGUCACAGGCAUCCAGGAUCAAAUGGCAGAUCGUUUAGGUCUGAAAUUUGACGAGAAUAGUAAAGAAGGGAGAGCAGGUCGGUUAUGUCAGAGACUGCAGGGGAAGAAGAUGCUUAUAGUCCUGGAUGAUGUUUGGAGAGUUAUUGACUUCGAAGAGAUAGGGAUCCCAUUUGGUGAUGAUCACAGGGGUUGUAAAAUUCUUCUAACAACACGUCUUGAAGACAUGUGUUCUUAUAUGAAGUGCAAGGAAAAAGUUUUUUUAGGUCUCUUUUCUGAAGAGGAAGCAUGGGCUUUAUUCAGAAUCAAUGCAGAUUUACGUGACGAGGACUCUACCUUGAACACGGUGGCAAAGAAGGUUGCGAGAGAAUGUAAUGGAUUGCCUAUAGCACUUGUGACAGUGGGAAGGGCUCUAAGAGAUAAAUCUGUUGUUGAGUGGGAAGUAGCGUCUGAAGAGCUCAAAAACUCUCAAUUUCGGCAUUUGGAACAAAUUGACGGACAAAAAAAUGCAUAUGCAUGUCUUAAGUUGAGCUAUGAUUAUUUGACGUCCGAUGAAACCAAGUCAUGUUUCUUGCUAUGCUGUUUAUUUCCAGAAGAUUACAACAUUCCAAUUGAGGACUUGACGAGAUACGCAGUUGGCUAUGGGUUACAUAAAGAUGCGGAGUCCAUUGAAGAUGCAAGGAAACGAGUUUAUGUGGCAAUCAAAAACCUCAAAGCUUGUUGUAUGCUGUUAGGAACUGAAAGUGAAGAAUAUGUGAAAAUGCAUGACUUGGUUCGUGAUGUUGCUAUUCGGAUAGCAUCAUCAGAAAAAUACGGAUUCAUGGUAAUGGCUGGCAUUGGGUUGCUGGAGUGGCCAACGAGCAAUAAAAGCUUUGAAGGCUGUACAACAAUCUCGUUAAUGGAGAAUGAACUAGCAGAACUUCCUGAAGGAUUGGUGUGUCCACAGCUCAAAGUUCUAUUGUUAGAACUGGAUCGUGAUUUGAAUGUUCCAGAGAGGUUUUUUGAAGGGAUGAAAGAAAUUGAAGUUUUGUCUCUGAAGGGAGGGUGUUUGUCAUUGCAAUCACUUGAACUCUCAACGAACCUUCAGACUUUGCUGUUGAGAAGGUGUGAAUGCAAGGACCUCAAUUGGUUGAGAAAGCUGCAAAGACUUAAGAUUCUUGUUUUCAUGCGGUGCGACUCCAUUGAAGAAUUACCUGAUGAAAUUGGGGAGCUCAAGGAGUUAAGGUUGUUGGAUUUGACAGGUUGUUACAAUCUAAGAAGGAUUCCUGUGAAUUUGAUAGGAAGGUUGAAGAAGUUAGAAGAACUGUUGAUCGGGGAUGAGAGCUUCAAGGGAUGGGAUGUUGUUGGAUGUGACAGCACAGAAGGAAUGAAUGCAAGCCUAACAGAACUAAGUUCGGUGUCUCAUUUAGCUGUAUUAUCAUUGAGGAUACCGAAGGUUGAAUGCAUUCCCAGAGAUUUUGUUUUUCCCAGGGUUGAAUCACAUGUAGAAUCACUCCAUUGGGUUGAAUCACAUGUAGAAGUGAGUGAUUGUGGGGAUGUUCACACUCUGUUUCCAGCAAAAUGGCGGCAAGCUUUGAAAAAUCUAAGGAGAGUGGAAAUUUUUUACUGCAAUUCAUUGGAAGAGGUAUUUGAAUUUGAUGAGGCUGAAGAAGGAAUUAACGAGGAGGAGUUGCCGCUAUUGUCAUUUUUAACGGAGUUACAGCUGUCCAAUUUACCUGAGCUCAAAUGUAUAUGGAAGGGGCCCACCAGACAUGUUAGCCUCCAGAGUCUUACUCAUCUGAAGUUAUGGUUUCUUGACAAACUGACAUUUAUCUUCACACCGUCCCUUGCUCAAAGUCUUAUUCAUCUGGAAACACUACAGAUAGAACGUUG
Molecule: long non-coding RNA, 52144 nt
Filed under: Populus tremula
Lineage: Eukaryota; Viridiplantae; Streptophyta; Magnoliopsida; Malpighiales; Salicaceae
Description: long non-coding RNA (PTRE_LNC000350)
Source: RNAcentral